CAGGAAAAGCACCUGGCUCCUGGCUCCUGCCAUCGGAUCAGCGGAUGCGCCGGCCGCAGCGUGCCGGCCGCGGCGGCCAUUGGAGGGUGAACCAACGGCAAAGGAAGACCUUUCUCUCUGUCUCUCUCUCUCACUGUCCACUCUGCCUGUCAAAAAAAAAAAAAAAAAAAAAGACUCAGCUUGUAAGGGGCCAGCACUGUGGCAUAGUGGGUAAAGCCACCACUUGUAGUGCCAGCAUCUCAAGUGGGUGUCAGUUUUGAGUCCCAGCUGCUCCAGUUAUGAUCCAGCUCUCUGCUAUGGCCUGGGAAGGCAGUAGAAGAUGGCCCAAGUCCUUGGGCUCCUGCACCCACGUGGGAGACCCAGAAGAAGCUCCUGACUCCUGGCUUCUGGCUUCAGAGCAGUACAGCUCCAGCCAUUGUGGCCAUUUGAGGAGAGAACCAGCAGAUGGAAGACCUCUCUCUCUCUGCCUCUGCCUCUCUGUAACUCUGCCUUUCAAAUAAAUAAAUAAAUAAAAAUAAAUAAAUAAAUCUUAAAAAAGACUCUGCCUGUGGCGCCAGCAUCCCAUGUGGGUUCCAGUUCCUGUCCUGGUUGUUCCUCUUCUGACCCAGCUCUCUGCUAAUGGCCUGGAAAAGCAGUGGAAGAUGGCCUAAGUGUUUGGGCCCCUGCACCCAUGUGUGGGACCUGAAAAAACCUCCUGGCUCCAGCUGUUGCAGUUAUUUGGGGAGUGAACCAGCAGAUGGAAGACCUCUCUAUCUCUGUCUCUCCCUCUCUCUGUCUGUAACUCUACCUCUCAUAUAAAUAAAUAAAUAUUUAAAAUAAAAUGUUAAAAAGGGAAGCUAGCUCUGUGGUAUAGUGAGUUAGGUCACCACCUACAAUUCUAGCAUCCCAUGUGGGUACUAGUUCGAGUCCCUGCUGCUCCACUUCCAAUCCAACUUCCUGCUAAUGCACCUAGGAAAGCAGCAGAUGACAGCCCAAAUGCUUGGGCCUGCCAUCCAUGUGGGAGACCCAAAACAAGCUCUGGCUCCUGGCUUCAGCCUGGCCCAGCCUCUGCUGGUGCAGCCAUUUGUGGAGUGAACCAGCAGAUGGAUGAUCUCUAACUCUGACUUUCACAAUGAAUAAAUAAAUCUUUAAAAAAAAGUUAAAAUGGAGUUUACAAAAGGAAAUUAAUAGAAAAAUAAAAUAUGUAUGGUUGAUGCACGAGAAGCAUACCAUAAAGCAAUCUAUUAAUUUGACUGUAAAUUCUGUCAAUAAACUCAAAGGUGAAAACGUGAACGUGUAAGAGCAGGGGCUUAUCACUUCUUGGCCUUUUGGCUAAGAUCAAGUGUGAAGAACAGGAGCUCAUACUGUUACUUGUGUGCACAUUGUUCAUAAGCAUUCCACCCUCCCACUAGAGUCUUUACCUCAAGAGAUUAUUAAAGGAAGUGAGCUAGGAGAAGGGAGAAAAAAAGAGAGAUCAGAACUUUGGAGAAUAGGGAGUUUGAAGCCACACCCAAUUGUGGUGUAUCUUCCAAGGAAGCUAUUUCUACUAUAAGGCUUAAUUUUUAAGAUUCUCCUAAUUCAUAAGAUGAAAUAGUAAUAAAUCAUUCAGGAAAGGUAUUAUUCCUGAUAUUGGAACCAAGAAAUUUCUCCUGUGAACCCUCGUGGUGCAAGGUCAUGUGGGCACUCUAUGUACCAUUCACAACCUUAUUUUAAAAAAAAAUUUUAAUCAUUUGAAAGGCAGUUUUAAAGAAAGGAGAGACAGAGAAAGACAGAUUGUCCAUCCCCUGGUUAACUCCUGCAAUGGCUGCAAUGGCUGUGGCUGGGCCGAGCUGAAUCCAGGAUCCAGGAACUUUUUCCAGAUCUUCCAUGUGGGUGCAGGGUCCCAACCACUCAGGCCAUCCACCAUUGCUUUCCCAGAGCUGGAUUGGAAAUGGAACAGCCAGGACAGGAACCAGUGCCCACAUGGGAUGCUGGUGUUGCAGACAGCAGCUUAACCCACUAUGGCACAGUGUGGGCCCCCAUUCACAAUGUUCUUGGUACCUGGUGAAUGGGUUAUGUAAGCAUGAGCAGUAGAAGUGUCAGAAGAACAGAAGAACAAUGUAUGAGCUUGAUAGAAGUCUCUGAAGAUACUAAACAGGUCUCAGUAACUCAUUACUACUAAUGGUAUGAAGUUGGUCAGAAGACCUGAUAGCAGGAGUUUUGCCUUUUGACCCUUUUGGGAAAUGGAUAAGCUGAGUUUUCAUUUCAGAUCCACAGUAACCCACAACAGUGCUAGACCUUGUUUUAAAAAUUUAUAGUUUCAGUUGCUGGUGUUGUGGCACAUCAGGUUGGCCUUGGCCUAUAAUGCUGGCAUCCCGUAGGAGCUCCAGUUCAAGCUUCAGCUGCUCUACUUCCAAUAGAGCUCCCUGCGAUUGCGCCUAAGAAAGCUCUAGAAGAUGGCCCAAAUGCUUGGGUCCCUUCUGCCCACAUGGGAGACCCGGAUGGAGUUCCAGGCUCCUGUCUUUGAUCUAGUCCAGCCCUGGCCAUUGCAGGAGUGAACCAGCAGAUAGAAGAUCAGUUGAUCUUCUCUAAUUCUGUAUUCAAUGUCUUUCUCUCUGUAAUUCUGCCUUUCAAAUAAAUCAAUCUUUAAAAAAUAAUUUAUAGUUUUAAGUUCAUCACAGUUUUAUUUUUGUCUGGUUUUUAGAAAAGGAAUAUAUAUUUAUAAUAUCCCUGAUAUAUAGUAAGCAGUUUGAAAAAGAUACUUGCAUGAGUUUACAGUGACAGAAUUGCCUUUGAUGUUUUUUAAAUAGAGUGGGUACUUGUUGUGGUUUGAAUAUGUCUGCUCCAUAAUUCAUGUUGAAACUAAAUCUCCAGUGCAACAGUAUUACAAGGUGGGACUUCUAGGCGAUGAUUAGACCAGAAAGGCCAUGCCCUAAUGGGUGGAGUUACCCACCUUAUGAAACCACUAUGGACCAGCACUGUGGCAUGACAGGUUAAGCCACAGCUUGGGAUGCCUGCAUCCCAUACUGGAGUGCCUGGUUCUAGUCCUGGCUACCAAUCCAGCUUCCUGUGCAUGUGCCUAGGAGGCAGCAGAUGAUGUCUGGAGUACCUGAGUCCCUGCCACCUACAUGCAAGACCCAGAUGGGAGUUCCUGUCUCCUGGCUCUAGCCUGGCCCAGCCCUAGCUGUUGUGGGCAUUUGGGGUGUGAGGAGUGUGAAGAUCUCUCUCUCUUUCUUUCCCUCCCUUUCUCCCUCCCUCCUCCUCCCCCACCCCCACCUUUCAGAUAACUAACUAACUAAAUCUUUAUUUGUAAAGGGCUUGACAGAGUGAGUUUAGCCCCUUUGCCCUUUUGUCCUUCCCCCCACAUUAAGACCGAGCACUCAAGGUGCUGUCUUUGGAAGCAAAGACCCAUACCCUCAUCAGGCACCAAAUCUGUUAGAACCUUGAUCUUGGACUUCUCACACUCCAUAACUGUAAGGAAAUAAAUUCUGUUCUUCAUAAAUUACUUAGUCUUACAUAUUUUAUCAUGGCAGCACAAAUGUACUGAGAAAGUACUAUUUCUUUGAGAGAGGGAACACCCCCAUCUUGCUGGUUCUCUCCACCACAUGCCCACGGUGGUCAAAGGAUGGGCCAGGGCCAGAGCCAGCAACUGGGAGCACAAUCCAGGUCUCCCAUGAGGAUGGUGGGAACCUAAUGACUUGAGCCAUCACCACUGCCUCCCAAGGUCUGACAAUGGUGAGAACUAAAGUCAGGUGACAGAGCCAGGAAUCCAACCCAAGCACUCUUAUAUGUGGGGUACACACAUCUUCAUGGGUAGGCCAAAUGCUCACUCUGAUACUCUUUUUUAAUUUGAAGACAGGCUUGCCAACUCCACCAGACAUCAAAUUAAUCAGUAAAACAUUUUCCCUCUUAAGUCUUGCUGAACUAGAAAUACCUAAAAACUGCAAAUAGAAAGUUACAGAAUUAAUAUAGAGACUUUCCAAUUAUAAUAAAUCUCUUCUUGCCAAAAAAGGAGAUGUACAUGUUAAGGAUGCCAGAAAAACCUUUUGAAAAUUUUGUUGGGGUCAGUAUUAAGGCACAGCAGGUUAAGCAUCUGCCUGCAAUGCCAGCAUCCCAUUUUAGAGCACUAGUUCAAGUUUAGGCUUUUCUACUUUAAAUCUAGCUCCUUGCUAAUGUGCUUGGGAAAAUGGUAGGAGAUGGUCCAAGUGCUUGGGCCCCUGCUAGCCACCUGAGUCACCCCUGUGGAGUUCCAGACUCCUGGCUUUGGCCUGGUCAAGCCCAGCUAUUGUGGCUAUUUGGGGAAUAAAACAAUGGAUAGGGCCGGCACCGCGGCUCACUAGGCUAAUCCUCCACCUUGCGGCGCUGCCACACCGGGUUCUAGUCCCUGUUGGGGCACCGGAUUCUGUCCCGGUUGCUCCUCUUCCAGUCCAGCUCUCUGCUGUGGCCCGGGAAGGCAGUGGAGGAUGGCCCAAGUGCUUGGGCCCUGCACCCCAUGGGAGACCAGGAGAAGCACCUGGCUCCUGCCAUCGGAUCAGCGCGGUGCGCCAGCCAUGGCGGCCAUUGGAGGGUGAACCAACGGCAAAGGAAGACCUUUCUCUCUGUCUCUCUCACUGUCCACUCUGCCUGUCAAGAAUAGAACAAAAAAAAAAGAUUAAAAAAAAAUAAAACAAUGGAUAGAAGAUUUCUCUAUCUUCGUCACGCUGCCUUUUAAAUAAAUCUUUAAAAUAAUUUUUCUCUCAUCUGUUUAUGAAAGAUGUAAUAGGUAACCAUACUGGAUUUGAGCUUGGAAGAUAGAUGGAAACAACACUUCCUCUACCAAUGAACCAAAAUAAUUCUGCAAAAUAGACAUACAGUACUUUAAGCAUAUCAGUCUUUUACCAAAAUAAGAACUUGAAAAUGAGAAUCCCAGAGCCACAGCAGUUAUGAAAAUAUCAUAAGUUUACCAAAUUCUUAAUUAUGUUCUAGUAUUUUGUUUUAGCAGUUCCAUUUCAUUGUCCAUUACCUGGUUAUCAGAGGGAAAAAAUGUCAUUAAUGUUUGCCUUCUUACUGUAUUCUUUUUAAUUAAGUUGUAGCUUCAGUGAGUCACUAGUGUAAGGAUACCUGGCUGUAGGCAUUAGCUGGGACCUCCCCCACAUCUGCAUAUGUGCACCCACACACUGUGGUAUCUUUAACCACUAAUUGUGUUUGUAGUUUAACCCAUUCAUGGUCUUCAUAUUAACCAUGGAGAUAAGCACCAGAAAGUGCACCAAAGCUGAGGGGAACUAACAGACUCUGAAUUUUAAAUAUAUUUUAAAAGAAUAAUUUUAUCUAGUAGUUUGAUUUGUAUUUGUUAUUUCUUGUGCAUUGACUCAUGUAAUCUGCAACCCCAUAAGGUAGAUCCUAUUAUUGUUUCCCUUUUACAGUGAGGAAACUGAAGCUGAAAAGAUGAAAUGAGAUUGUCACCUUGCCAAUAAGUGGUAGGAUCAAUAUUCAGUGUGUUCCACAGCCCCUUAUUCUGAUUCCACUGUACUGCUAUAAUGACGCAAGAUCUAGCUUAGAUCUCAAACUACUAGAUAAAUUCUUUUUAAAAAUAUAUUUUUGGGGGGGGGAGGGCUGGCUUUGUGGCAUAGCAGGUAAAGCCACUGCCUGUGAUGGCAGCGUCCCACAUGGAUGCCAGUUCAAGUCUCUGGUGCUCCACUUUCCAUCCAGCUCCCUGCUCAUGUGCCUGGGAAAGCAGGGAAGGAUGGCCCAUAUAUUUGGCUGCUUUCCUGAGCUAUUGGCAGGGAGCUGGAUUGGAAGUGGAGAAUCAGAGACUUGAACUGGCAUCCAUGUGGGAUACUGCCAUCACAGGCAGUGGCUUUACCCACUACGCCACAAUGCUGGCCCCUAAACAAAAAAAAUUUUUUUGGCAUUACAUUUUGUAUUAAUCUGAAGGUUGAUGUUUGGUGAUAUUUAUUCUUCCCAGCCAAGACAAUGAUACAUUUUUCCUUUGUAGAUUUUUGAGAUUUUUCAAGAUAGGGUUUUUUUUUUUAGAAUAGUAUUGAUUUUACAGCAAGGUUAUAAAGAUAGUAAAAGGAAUUCCCAUAUACCCAUGUUUAGUUUUUUCUGUCACUAACAUAUUAAUACUGUACAUUUGUCACAAUUAGCAAACCAAUAUUGAUAUAUUAUUGUUAACUAAAGUCCAUACUUUAUUCAGAUUUUCUUAACUUUUACCUACUGAUUGUUUUUCACGUGAGUUCUCAACCAGGAUACCACAUUACAUUUAGUCAUUAUGUCUCUCUGGGCUCCCCCUUGCUGCAACAGUUUCUCAGACUCCUGUUGGUUUUGAUAACCUGUACAAUUUUGAGUCAUAUUGAUCAGGUAUUUUGUAGAAUUCAAUUUUGUAGUCCUUCAGCUGGGAUUUGUAUUGUGUUUUUCUCAGUUGUGGGUUUGGGGGAAGAAGACCGCAGAGUGUCACUCUCAUCACUUCCUGUUGAAGUUCAGACCAUCUCUGAUUGCCACUGUUGUCAUCAGUCUUGAUGAUUAAUGAAAGGAGUGUUUCUGUGGUUCCUCCACUGUAGAGUUAGUCUUUUAUCCCUCUUUCCAUAAUGUACUCCUCAGAGAGAAGUCACUGUUAGCAGCCCACACUUAAAGAACUGGGGAGUUACAUUCUGUCAUUUCCUUGAGGGCAGAGACAGUCUGGUACCACUUGAUUCCUUCAGUGUUGGGCCACACUUAUGAUGGUAGUCCCAUAAAAUUAUGUCAUGUAGUGACAUCAUAGUUUUUUUUUUUUUGUAUCAGUAUACUCUAUGAUAUUCAUUUAAGAACAAAGUUGCCUAACAAUCCAUUUCUCAAAAUCUCCUCAAGACAUAUGGCUAUAUUUAUAUAUAUUGUAUAGAAUUCUUUAUCUUGUGCAACUUUCUUCUUCCUUUCUCUGCUUCUCUCCUUUCUUUCUUCUUUCCUCCCCUCCUUCCUUCCUUUCUUUCAAAUUUUUAUUUUUAUUUUUUUGAAAGAGAUGGAGACAGGAAGAGAGACCGAGAUCUUCCAUCCACAAGUUCACUCCUCAAAUGCCUGCAACAGCCAAGCCUGGACCAGACUGAAGCUAGAACCUAGAAUCCAGUCUAGGGUUCCCUUUUGUGAUGGCAGGGACCCGAGUACUUGAGCCAUCCUCUCUGCUCCCCUUCACGGAGGGUAUGCAUUAGCAAGAAGCUGGAAUCAGAGGAAGCUGGGACUCAAACCCAGCCACUCCAAAUUGGGGUGUAGGCAUUCCAAGAAGCCUUAAAUACCAAACUCCCGCCCCAGUAUUUUUUUUUUAUCUUAGUCUUUUUUUAGUCUUCUUUGAGGGAGAACAGUGUUACUCUUUUUUUUUUUUUAAUUAUCAAGGGCAAUUAAAGGAAAUAUUAGUAUUUUUCUACUUGUACUAACUUUUCAAAAUCAAGUAAUACUUUUUCUGCCACUUAAUGUCCCAGUUUUUCCCAGUCAUCUUAUGAUCUUUUUUUCAGGAUUAAUCAUAUUUAUGGAUUGCCUGUUUUGGGAGACCAGCAUAUAUUUUGCAUUUUCUUUUUGUUUCCUUAACAAUGGAGUAGAAAGGGUAUAGAUGAAGGGAGAAAUUGAAAUAAUUAAUAUAAACUUGUUUAGAGCAGCUCUUUCAUUACUGUGUCUCAGGUAAUUAAAAAGGGGUUCUUACUGAACUGAAAAUACUAGUUAAUCAGCAAAGGGGAGAAGGGUAUAUAGGAUGUUUGCUUUCAAUAUUAUAUACUUAUGUGAUGCUAGAGUUCUUUUUAAAGAAGUUUUUUUUGUAACUUGGAAAAUAAUAAAGGUUUAUUUUUAGAGUCAAUGGAAAUGCAAAGGAAAGAACUUAUCAUUUCUGCGGUUCAAAAUGCUUUAGAACUUGAGAACUCUUUUCCAUACUUGAUAAGGUUAAAUCUCUUGGUUAUUUUGCAUUAAUUGUGUUUGUCCCCAUAUUUUUCACUAUUUAGGCUAAACUGGUGAAAUUGUACUUCUGCCCAGUUAUUUUAUGUAAUUGCAAUGAUUACUUUGGCAUUUGAAGAUUACUGGAGAUUCAUUUUCAACAGUUCUAAGUGUGUAAGUCUUCUAACAAGAUUGUAAACAUUGUAUUACAGACAGAGACUGCCUUUUAUGUGUUUUCCAUGGAAAGGCAUGUAGCUGUUUUGGUGUGUUGCUGUUGAAGUGAUAGGAAACUUUCCCAUUGUCUCAUUGUUCUGCUGCUUCAACACUGAUUUCUUUCUUACUGGAUCUCUAUUACAAUUUCAGCUCUGUGCCCUUUGAGCCUUUAUCUUUGUGUCCUUCCUCUCUCCUUUGACCUACCAACCCAUGCACUUAGACGUUCCAAUUCAAAGAAACCCCUCUCCGAUUCCCCUGGAGGUGGCAUAGUCUCACAAUGAGAGCGCUAUUGUAGCCACCAAUUAUUUUCCAGCUCCAGGAGGAAGAAAUUCUACCUGCUCUUAAGCCUCAAUGCAACUCCUCCCUCUUCCAAAGAACUCUUAGAAGUUUAAGCUCUCGGGUUGGUGCCGGUGCAGUGGCUCACUUGGUUAAUCCUCCGCCUGUGGCGCCGGCAUCCCAUAUGGGCUCCGGGUUCUAGUCCCAGUUGCUCCUCUUCCAGUCCAGCUCUCUGCUGUGGCCCAGGAGGGCAGUGGAGGAUGGCCCAAGUGCUUGGGCCCCUGUACCCGCAUGGGAGACCAAGAGAAAGCACCUGACUCCUGGCUUCGGCACGGCGACGGCUGUGGUGGCCAUUUGUGGAGUGAACCGACAGAGGGAAGAUCUUUCUCUCUCUCUCUCACUAACUCUAUCUGUCAAAAAAAUAAAAAUAAAAAAAAGUCUUGCCACUCCAUUUGGAAAUUAGGGUAUUGCAAGAUUUAAUAGCAGAAAGGAUAAAUUUUCAAUAGAGCUUUAUUUACAAUUUGUGCCACUUUAGAAACUAUGUCCUAUGUGUUCUUUUAUCUGCCUUCUAUGUUAUUUUUAGCUCAAUACAAUAUACACACCGAUUGUUUAACAUAACUCAAAAACUACCAGUUUUUUUUUUUUUUUAAGAUUUAUUUAUUUGAAAGGUAGAGCUACAGAGAGGCAGAGGCAGAGAGAGGGAGAGAGGGAGAGAGAGAGAGAGAGUUGUCUUCCAUCCUCUGGUUCACUUUCAAAGGGCCACAAUGGUCGGAGCUGAGCCAAUCCAAAGCCAGGAGCCAGGAGCUUCUUCCAGAUCUCCCACACAGUUGCAGUUGUAGGGGCCCAAAGACUUGGGCCAUCCUCCACUGCUUUCCUAGGCCAUAUCAGAGGGCUGGAUCGGAAGCGGAGCAGCUGGGUCCUGAACUGGCACCCAUAUGGGAGGCUGGCACUGCAGGCAACAGCUUUGCUUGCUAAGCCACAGUGCCAUUUUUCAGUUUUGAUUUUAUAUGAACAUUCUAUUUGAUAUGAUUUAAUUUUAGCAUAGUGACUUUCUGAUAAGCUCGUUGUCUUCUACAAUUAAAGUAAAUCAACUUUAUUAAAUAAAUUUUAUUAUCUAUGCCCAAAUUCAUUCAAUAGGUAUUUUUUUUAAGAUUUAUUUUAUUUAUUUGAAAGAGUUAUAGAGAGGUAGAGACAGAGAGAGAGAGGUCUUCCAUCUGUUGGUUCACUCUCCAGAUAGCCACAAUGGCCGGAACCGCUGCAGUCUGAAGCCAGGAACUGGGAGCUUCCUUUGGGUCUCCCAAGUGGAUGCAGGGGCCCAAGGACUUGGGCUGUCCUCCACUGCUUUCCCAGGCCUUGGCAGAGAGCUGGAUCGGAAGAGGAGCAGCCAGGACCAGAAUCGGCCCCCAAAUGGGAUGCAGGCACUUUAGGACAGGGCUUUUUUUUUUUUUUUUUUUUUUUUUUUAAGAUUUAUUUAUUUUGCUUGAAAGUCACAGUUACACAGAGAGAGGAAGACAGAGAGAGAGAGGUCUUCCAUCCAAUGGUUCACUCCCCAAUUGGCCACAAUGGCCGGAGCUGUGCCGAUCUGAAGCCAGGAGCCAGGAGCUAGGAGCUUCUUCCGGGUCUCCCACAAGGGUGCAAGGGCCCAAGGACUUGGGCCAUCGUCUGCUGCUAUCCCAGGCCAUAGCAGAGAGCUGGAUCGGAAGUGGAGCAGCCGGGACUCAAACUGGUUUCCAUAUGGGAUGCAGGCACUUCAGGCCAGGGUGUUAACCCGCUGCGCUACAGUGCCAGUCCCUCAGGCCAGGGCUUUAACCUGCUGUGCCACAGCGCCUGCCCCUCAAUAAGUAUUAAGUAAAAACUUAUGUUGCAUAGUUCUGUCAGUGGCCAUAGAUAAUCUUUGCUCUUAAGAAAUUUACAACCUAGCAGAGUUGAUAAGAUGCAUAGACAAAUAAGAGACAUUGAGGCUCAGGUAUGGAUAUUGAGUAAGGCUUCCUGAAGGUGACAUUUGUGAUGAAUUUCCAUCAAGCAGAAUUAGUGAGAGAUAUUAUCAGUAGAGACAAUAGUUUGAGCCAUGAAUGAAAAUGAUAGUCCAAGGUACUCAAAAGAUAUAGCCCUUUGACCUUAGACUUCCAGCCUUUAGAGAAGUGAGAAAUAAAUUUCUUCAUAAAUGUGAAAAAGCAAGGAAAGCUAUACUUGAAGAAUAGUGAGUUGACCACUAGUAGCCAGAGUAGAGUUUACCUGUUUGUUAGUAGUAGAAUAGGGGGUUGAAAGGGUUACUUGUGACCAUGGGUUGGAGUACUUUAGCAUUUGGAAGAAUUUGAAUUUUCUUUCAGUCAUUCAACAGCUAUGUUAAGAAUACAAAGGUAAACAUAUAAUACAAUCAUAAACACAGAUAUGGUCUUUGCCCUUAUGGAACUUAUGGCCCAUCAUUAAUGUAAUAACAGAAACUCAUGUAAAAUUACAGUUAUAAUAAGUGGUACACAAAAACCAAAGAUACAUGGUGGCUGUGAAGGCAUUUAAGAAAAAAUCUGAUGUAGACAAGGAGAUCAGAGAUCAGAUGGUUUCCUUGAAGAAAUAGAAACUGAGCAUCAAAGGGAUGAGUGAGAGUCCAAUAAAGAAGGAUGAAAAGAGAGUUUUAUUUGGAAUACGGUGUGUGAAGUUCCUGUGGUGGGGAGAUACAAGGGACUAAGAGAGUGAAUGGAGAGUAGAGACUGGAAGGGGCCAGAUCUUGUUGACUUGAAGAAUUUGUGUUUUUCCUAAGAGUAGGAAGCAAGGUAUCAAAAUUGUGUUUUGAAAGUAUAUUUCUGGCUGAAGUACAGAAAGCAGAUCACUGAUUUCCAGUGAAGAUUGUUACCAAGGUUCACAAUUUGCAUCAGACAGAUAGCAAUGAAGAUGAAAUAUAGAAAUAGAAAACUGAGAAGAUUGCCAAUCUCAAGAACAAAACAUAACAAAGCAUUGCAACCAAAAUCUUCAUAGGGUAGAAGCCACAGCCCUGCUUAGCUCUGAAUCUUGGAACAGGCUUAGAGGCAGGAAACUCAGCUCCUUUGAGAUAAUAUAGACAUGCCACACAAGAUGGGGUCAAAGCCAGAUUUAUUGUAUAAAGCUGGAGUAAGUGAAAUUCCACAAACUUGCAACACAGGCUGGGGUAAAAAAAAGACACCUUGUUACUGCUAUUUGAGAUAUGGCACCUAAGUACAUACAAGCCCCAGGAAUGAAGACGGAAUAAGUAGCCUCACAACUUGCCAGUGACUAUAUCUGUGGUAAUCCUGAUAUAAACACAGGAUUUGGGAAUCAGGAAAGCAAGAAAUCCCAAAACUUUUAGACAGAGAAAAGAUAAGCAUGGAGGAAGUUAACAAGAGAGAGAAGGAGAUUCUCCCAGCUCUGGAAGAGGAUGAGAGGCUGUAGGUCAGAGGAAGCAGGGAAAAGCGAGGUCCUCUCAGACUAGGGGCAAGUCAUUUUGUUCUCCAGCAGAGAACUCACUUCCCAACUCUCAGCGCGAGAGCUCUUCCUUUUAUUCUUUUUGUGGUUUAUAUUGAGCCCUGUUGUGUGGGAACACUUGCCUCAGGCAUGGAUCCUCCACUUUUGGAGCAACCAGACUUGUUGGCAAUAAAGUGCUGUGGAACUUCGAAAGAGAAAGCUUUUUGAUCUAACUGAUCAUUCCCUCAUCAAAUUUUUGUUCUUUGUGGUGUGUCCAUGCCAAUUAUGUACCAGAAUGCUGAUUCAGUCAGGGCUUUACGAAAGCCAUUCCAGUAAGAACAGAAUGGACCUAGUGUGUGUAUGGGGACAUGGAGGGGAUCAAAAGAAACAGUAAGCAUUUGAGUGUUCUUAAAGCCUUGUGUAAUGGAAGGAGAGGUAUGGUAGGCUAGGCCAGGACCAUAUUUUGAAAGUCAGAAAUGUAUUUUUUUCUGCACAUAGGGGAACUGGCUGUCCAGAGUAUAGAAAGAGACUUUAUUUUUAUUACAUAUUCUUCUUAAGUUUUUUAUUUGAAAGGCAGAGUGACAGAGAAGGAGAGAGAGAGAAAAAGGGAUCUUCCAACUUUCUUCCCAAACGGCCGCAACAGCCGGGGCUGCCCAGACUAAAGCCAGGAGCCAGGAACUCCAUCCUGGUCUCCCAUGCCAGUGGCAGAGACUCAAGUGCUUGAACCAUGAUCUGCUACUUCCCAGGCACAUUAGCAAAGAGCUGAAUGGGAAACAGUGCUGAGACUCAAACCAGCACUCCAGUGUGGGAUGCAGAUGUCCCAAGUGGCGACUUAACUAGUUACACUAAACACAUGUUCAUUCUUUUGUUUUUUUUUUUGUUGUUGUUGUUGUUGUUUGUUUGUUUGUUUGUUUGUUUUGACAGGCAGAGUGGACAGUGAGAGACAGAGAGAAAGGUAUUCCGUUGCCGUUGGUUCACCCUCCAAUGGCCGCCACGGCUGGCGCGCUGCGGCUGGCAUACCGCGCCUAUCCGAAGGCAGGAGCCAGGUGCUUCUCCUGGUCUCCCAUGGGGUGCAGGGCCCAAGCACUUGGGCCAUCCUCCACUGCCUUCCCGGGCCACAGCAGAAAGCUGGACUGGAAAAGGGGCAACCGGGACAGAAUCCGGUGCCCCGACUGGGACUAGAACCCGGUGUGCCGGCGGCGCAAGGCGGAGGAUUAGCCUACUGAGCUGCGGCGCUGGCCUUACUUUGAUUUUAACAUAUGUUGAGAGCUACAACUGUUCUACAAAGACAUUAAAUUUAUAUAGCCUAUUUCCAUGAACCCCAACUGCAUUGAUCUGAAUAUAUUCUAGUUAUUUAAUUCAUUGAAUGUUUUUUGAGAGCCUCUUUCAUAGAUGUGUCAGAAGUACAAACCUGAAAGAAGCAUAGUCCCUAUCCUCAAGAGUUUUAUAUUCUUUAGGAGAAAAUAAAAAAAGACAGUAUUGUCUAAAUGAAGACCGAAUCUGAUCAACAUGUUUAUUGUGCCAGUACCUCUGUGAACAGGAACUAUAAGGAACAUUUCUUAGAUUUUCCUGUGGUUCAAACUAGUAUUUUUGCCCAGUUGUUCAGAAACAUUAAGCUUUUAUAAUAUUUUCAGCUAAUUUAUUUAUAAUAGCACCAGCAUCUGUUGUUUUUCUGAGUUUUAACUAACAUUUAAGAAUUUCACAUAUGCCAAAAACUUUUGACUGUCUUAUAUGCAUUAUCUCAUUUAAUCCCCACAACAGUCUUUUAAGGUGUUAUUUUCAUUUUACAGAUGUAGAAACUGAGGGUCAGAGAAGUCAAGAUACCCACCUAACAUCAAUUCAGAGAUAGUAAGGGUCAGAAUUGGUUUCUUGACCCCAGAGCCUGAGCCAAAUAACACUUUGUUCUCUAUCUCCAUGGACCUUGCUAACUUCUACACAUCAACUCUAUUUAAACACAGAGAAACAGCAUCAGUGAAAGUUAUCAGUGGUUUUGUUUGUUUUAAUUAGAUAUUGACACAAUUUUGAUAUAGGAAAUGCUGACAAUCUGCCAAACAAUUCCAAGCUUGUAAGAGUACUAUCACCGUAGUUUUGUGUCUUUAUUCAUACGACUUUAGUUUGACUAAUCCUCCCUAAGAAGUCUUCUGCAACCCAUGCACAUGCACACUGUUCACUCUGGGUGCUUGGCCCCUCCUGUGCAUCCUCUUCUGUGGUGACACCAGUCACACAUUGCAGUGAUCUAAGCUCCUUGGUAGCAGGGACUAGUCUUUGUUUUAGAAAUCUCAGCAUCCAGCACAGUGUUUAGCGUGUGGUAGGUAUACAGAAAAAAUGUUAAAUGAAUGUUUAACUCCAAGCGUGUUUUCUGACUUAAGGAAUGUUUGCUGACUCCCUUUAGUGUACGUUUUUGCACAUAGCUAUAGUAGUUUUUCACUAACUCACUGUUUACUGGUUGGGACUUCUGUUUGUUUCCUUUUCUAAAUAUGUUUUUUUUAAAAAUUUAUUUAUUUAUUUAUUUGAAAGGCAAAGUUACAGAGAGAGAAAAAGAUUUUCCAUUUACUCGUUGACUCCCCAAAUGGCCACAGUGACCAAGUCUAGGCCAGGUUACAGCCAAGAGCCUGGAACUCCAUCCAUGGUGUGAACAUAGGUGGCAGGGGCCCAAGCACUUGAACCAUCUUCUGUUGCUUUCCCAGGCGCAUUAGUAGGGAGCUAGGUUGGAAGUGGAGCAGCCAAGACUCAGACCUGUGCUCAUGUGGGAUGCAGGGCUUUAGGGCCCUGGCCAAACCUGCCGUGCCACACGCUGGUCCUGAGACUUCUGUUUUCAGUACUGGCCGGAUUUACUUGGUUUGUGCCCGUAGUUAUUUUAUACAGCUUUAUAUUCCUAACAACAAACACUAGAUUUAAACAUUGUUGUGGGGAGCAACUGGGAGCAACUCGGACUAGACUAAGUUACUGGAAUUAAGACUUAUUCUAUGCAUCUGCUCUCCCACAAUAUGGCGCUGGGAGAGGAGAAAACAGCUUCCACGCAGCUGCCUCUUGCCAACUUGAGUGCUGACCUCCAGGAGCUGAUCCUGCUCCUGAUUGGAGGAGAGCAGCGUACUCGGCGUGUGGGCAGCCGAGUUAGGAUUGGCAGAGGAGGACUAUAAAGGAGGAGAGAGACGGCAUGCACCAGGAACAUCUAAGAGGAACAUCUAAGGGGAACACCUGUGCAGCCCCCAAGAGAGCCGGCCGGCGGUGUGCCGCUCCCCUGCGGAAGUGGGGAAAGUGGCCAGGGGGAACCGCCCUUCCACGGAGGUGGAAGGGAUAGUAGCCAACCCGGGAAGAACCAGCAGCAAACCCGGGGAGGGCCGAGCAGACGAAAGAACAGCGCAGGGUCCUGUGUCGUUCCUCCACGAAGAGGGGGAGCGACAGUACAAGAUCAAUCUCUCUCUCUCUCUCUCUCUCUCUGUAACUCUGCCUUUCAAAUAAAUAAAUCUUUAAGAAAAAAAAAACUUAAUGUAUUUUUACCUUUUCACUUAAAGAAAGCACUUUACAACUUGUGUUUGGCAUGUCUGAAUUGCCAGCAACACUACUUUUGCUCUUUAGGGCCAUUGUUAAGUAAAAUAAGCAUUACUGGAACACAGCACUGUGAUAUCAUGACAGUCAAUCUGGUAACUGAGACAGCUACAAAGUGACUAAUGGGUAAGUAGUGUGUACAGUAUGUAUAUACUGGAUAAAAGGAUGAUUCAUGUCUCAGGCAGAAGGGAGCAGAACAGCAUGAGAUUUCAUCACGCUGCUCAGAACAGUGUAGUUUUAAAUUUAUGAAUUUUUUAUUUCUGGAAUUUUUCAUUUAUAUUUUUGUACUACAGCUGACCACAGGUAGCUGAAAGCUCAGAAAGAGAGACUGCAGAUAAAGAAGGACUACUGUAAUUAUGUUCAUCACAGAAAACCCUAAUUAAACUCUUUAAUGUUGAGGCCAUUUUUAGCUUUAUUUUUUUUAAAGAUUUAUUUAUAUAUUUGAAAGGCAGUUACAGAGAGAGAGGGAGAGGGAGAAGCAGAACCAGGGAGAUAUCUCCUGUCCAUUGGUUCACUGCCCAAAUGGCCACUACAGCCAGGACAAAUCCAGGAACUCCAUCUGGGUCUCUCAGAUGUGUGGUAGUGCUCCAUGCACUCAGGCCACCCUCCACUGCUUUCCCAGACACAUUAGUGGGGAACUGGAUCAAAAGCAGAGCAGCUAGGACUAGAAUCAACACUCCCAUAUGGGAUGCUGGCAUCAUAAGCAAUGGCUUAACCCACUGUGCCACCGCACCACACCCUGUUUUACUGUCCCUUAUCAAAACAUUUGUAUGAUUUUUUUUUUCCUUCUACGAUCAUUUCUCUUGACUUCUAUACUCAGUUGAAUUACAUUCCUUACAGCAGUGUUAUUACUUUACUCUGGUUUUCCUUCUAGUUUAUAGCCCAUUAGUUUUUCCUGGAACCCUGCUUAAAUGAGAUAAAAUCUUUAAAUGUCUCUGUUAUAGAAAAUACAUGCUAGACUUCAAAUAUUAACCAGCACAGGAUUAUGAAAGUUAAAAAUUUAUAAAUGGUAAAGUUAUUAUCUAGUUUGUGGUGGUGAUUAAAACCCAUAGAACUGCAUGCAUGCAUACACACACAAACUCAUAAAUGGACAAAAUUGACUAAGUGUUACAAAUCGAAGUUUUACUGACUAGAAGAAAGAACUUUGAAUUUCUUCUAGAAAAUGUAUCUUUAAAAUAUAAAUUGAGUCUCCAUUAAUUCUGAAAACAUCUAUAAUCUUCCUUUCUCCACUAACAAAAUGUAUGUUCAGUGUUGAUCAUGAAGAUACUUCAUCUCAUUCUCCACUUUGUUAUAUUUGAUCCAGAAAAUGAGGUAGAGUCAUAAUUCAUAUAAAAUAUAUUGGAAAUCAGAUACAUCUUGGUUUUUUUUUUUUAUUUUUAUUUUUUGAUAGGCAGAGUGGACAGUGAGAGAGAGACAGAGAGAAAGGUCUUCCUUUGCCGUUGGUUCACCCUCCAAUGGCCGCCACGGCCGGCACGCUGCGGCCGGCGCACCGCGCUGAUCCGAUGGCUGGAGCCAGGUACUUCUCCUGGUCUCCCAUAGGGUGCAGGGCCCAAGUACUUGGGCCAUCCUCCACUGCCUUCCCGGGCCACAGCAGAGAGCUGGCCUGGAAGAGGGGCAACCGGGACAGAAUCCGGCGCCCCGACCGGGACUAGAACCCGGUGUGCUGGCGCCGCAAGGCGGAAGAUUAGCCUAGUGAGCAGCAGUGCCAGCCGGUUGUUUUUUGUUUUUAACUUUUAGUUUGUAGUUAAUGAGUCUUGAUGGGCCCAUAGAGCAGACUUUAGGGAGUCAGUAGAACUGGCAGGAAUAGCAAGUAUUCUAAAGGGCAGAAUUUUGCAGGAAGAGGUCCACCCGGGUUGAUAAGUGUCAAUUAUCUUGAAAAAUCAACACAUGUAACUAACUAGAAAUACUUAAAAUGUUGUCCAAUUUAGAGAGAACAGGGCACCCAGCUUCCUAAUGCAGACCUUUAAAGCAUGAGCAACAAAUGAGUAAAUUAAAAAUGGAUGAUGUUGAAAAAGGCAAGAAGAUUUUUGUUCAGAAAUGUGCCCAGUGCUAUACUGUGGAAAAGGGAGGCAAGCACAAGACCGGACCAAAUCUCAGUGAUUUGUUUGGGCAGAAGACAAGUUCAGGCCAUUGGGUUCUUUUACACAGCUGCCAACAAGAACAAAGGUGUCACCUGGGACAGAACACUCUGCUGGAGUAUUUGGAGAAUCCCAAGAAAUACAUCCCUGGAACCAAAAUGAUCUUUGCUGGCAUUAAGAGGAAUGAAAGGACAGACUUGAUAGCUUAUCUCAACUAUUACUACUAAUGAGUAAUAGUUGGCCACUGCCUUAUUUAUUACAAAACAGGAAUGUCUUGUGACUUUUUUAUAUGCAUCAUAAUUUAAUUCUCAUAUGCAAGAAUUCAGAUCAUGAAUGGCUGACAGAAUAUUUUUGACAGUCCUGAUUUGAGUAAGAUUGCCAUGUGUGGUUAUAUAAAUAUGAUUGGGUUUGUUGAAAUAUUGGCGGUAGUUCCAGUUCAGUAAAUGCCCUCACUGUUUUCCUCUUAAGGAUAUGAAUAAACUUAAUUAAUAAUGUUCAACUUUUUGCAAAAAUUUUGAAUGCCAUCUGAAAAUCUGUCAGGAGAUUGGAUUUAUAUUUAAAUACUGGGGAAAUCUCUUCACUGUCUCAGAACUGAGUAGGACUCACUUAUGUUCCAGUUUGUGUUCUUCACCUGCUAAAGGCAAGAGCUGAAGAUAGGUAGAAAUAUGGACUUAGUACUUCUGGUCUUAGCUUUGCCAAUCUAAUUAGAAUUUCCUGUACCUAAACUGCUGCCUUUUAUUUAUUAAAAGGCAUUUGGUGUGAUUUAUGUAUAUCCAGUAAAGAAUAUUUAACACCCCUCACAUUUUAUAGGUGAUCUAAAAGAUCAGGUGCUUUGCAAGUAAUCAUGACCAGAUAGAGUAAUAAGUUUUACUUGUGACUUCUUUUACUACCUUAGACUAAGUUAUAAUUCAGGAUUGUCUAUAAACAGCUAUUUGGAAACACAUAAAAUUGAGGAACUACUGUAUAUUUGUGUUCAGUAGUGGUGCUUUUGCCAACUCAUUGAAAGGACUAAAUCAGAAGAGAUAAACUAUCAGCACAAAAUUUCUAAAUACGUGAUUACAAGACUUAAGAUAAUUAAAAAAAUUACAGAUCAUGAAAAACAGUGUUGCCCAAUUUAGAUAUUAGAUAAGCAAAUUAAUUUAGAUUUCUAGACUAUGAAGUUACAGCUGCUGAGCUUUUGAAAAAAAGAACAAAACAAUUUCCUCCAGUUUUCUUUAGUAAAGCAAGUCGACAGGCAGAGUGGAUAGUGAGAGAGAGAGACAGAGAGAAAGGUCUUCCUUUGCGUUGGUUCACCCUCCAAUGGCCGCCACAGCUGGCGCGCUGUGGCGUACCGCGCCUAUCCGAAGGCAGGAGCCAGGUGCUUCUCCUGGUCUCCCAUGGGGUGCAGGGCCCAAGCACUUGGGCCAUCUUCCACUGCACUCCCGGGCCACAGCAGAGGGCUGGCCUGGAAGAGGGGCAACCGGGAAAGAAUCCGGCGCCCUGACUGGGUCUAGAUCCCAGUGUGCCGGCACCGCUAGGUGGAGGAUUAGCCUAGUGAGCCGCGGCGCCGGCCUAUUAUUCUUUUUGUUCUUUGAGGCUUUCUUAUUUUCAGGUUUUCUAAAAUAAAUACAAACUACUUUAAUAAUAAUAUUUAAAAAUGUCAGUAACACCAAGAAUUUGUUUUAUAUCAUCUUAUCUAAAUAAAUAAGGUGUUCUUCAAAGAAUACUUUGGGAAGCAAAGAUGGUACUGAGAUCUAAGAGUGGGAGCAUGACAAAAGCUAAAAUAACAGGCUCUUUAUUAUUUUGGGGAAGAUUUAUGUACUAUUUAUUUUAAUGAUUAGCUAUUCAUAAAACAACAUACAUAAUAAAAUUGUAAGACUUUACUCCAGAAUAACGUCCCAUGCAUUAAUUCAAUUAUAUGAUCAUAAAUUUUCUCAGAAGCCCCAAAUAUUGUGCCAUUUUUAUUAAGAUUUUGUUUUCUAGAAUUAAAUGUCUCGUUGCUUCUUUUUAGAAGGAUGUAUUAUUAGUAGACAAAUGCAGAGGUUGUGAGGUUCUAUAAUUUUUUUUUUUUUUUUCUGAUUUGUAUCUAGUAACAGGCAAGAAUAGACAUGCUUUUCUAAAAUAGGACUUUUAAGUAGCUGGGUGCCUAGAGUUUCUUUUUCUUUAUUUUUAAGAUUAUUUAUUUAUUUGAAAGUUAGGAUUAUAUAUAUAUAGAGAGAGAUCUUCUAUCUGCUGGUUCAAUCCCCAGAUGGCUGCUACUGCCAGAGCUGGGCCAGGCUGAAGCCAGGAGCCAGGAGUUUCAUCUGGGUCUCCCAUGUGGGUGUCAGGGGCCCAAACAUUUGAGUCAUCUUCUGCUGCUUUUCCCAGGCCAUUAGCAGGGACCUGGAUCUGAAGUGGAGCAACUGAGACAUAAACUGGUGCACAUACAGGAUGCCAGCAUCGUGGGUAGUGGCUUUACCCACUGCACCACAGCUGAGUGCUUUUAGAGUGCACCGAAGAUUGAAGAGCACUGGAUUUUUGUUUCUUUCUCUGCUGCAUGAAAUGUUUAUUAAGUAAAGAUUGGAAAAAAUAAGUUUAGGUUAGACUCUGAUGUAAGGUGCAGUUUUCAGCUCUGUUGUAACCUCCCUUUAUGCUCAUGGGUGGUUUCUUGUCCAUUUUGAGCCUCAGUAUCCUUAUUUGUAAAAUGAGGACACCAGAUGUAAAAUCUCUAAACAUUCUUUCGACUCUAAAAACUUCGUGAUUCAAGCAGGUUCCCUGAGAAGAGCAAUGCAUUACGUCCGAAAGAGGAUGCUUUGGUAUUUCUCAAGGCUUUAGCAUUUUUUUUUUAAGUUUUAUUUUAUUUAUUUGAAAGAGUUACAGAGAGAGAAAGAAGGAGAAACAGAGAGAGAUCUUCCAUCCUCUGGUUCACUCCCCAGAUGGCCACAACCAGGGAUGGUGGGAGGCACAUUAGCAGGGAGCUAGAUCAGAAGUGGAGCAGCCAGGACUCCAGCUGGCGCCCAUGUAGGAUGUCACAGGCAGCAGCUUAACCCAUUAUGCCACAACUGCAGGUUUCUUAGCAUUUUCUCAAAGGGAAACUGAACACAGAAUCUGAGCUUAUUUUGUACCUUCAGACUCUUGAGAAAUAGUGUCUGAUUCCUUAUUUAUUUAGAUAAGAUGAUAUAAAACAAAUUCUUGGUGUUACUGACAUUUUUAAAUAUUAUUAUUAAAGUAGUUUGUAUUUAUUUUAGAAAACCUGAAAAUAAGAAAGCCUCAAAGACAAAAAUUAAAAUUCUACAUGUUGUGGGUGUUGUGAUGCAACAGAUUAACCCACUGCUUAGGACACCUACCUCCCAUAUCAGAGUGCCUGGUUGGAGUCCCAGCCGCUCUGCACUUUCCAGGCAGCUUCCUGCUAAUGUCCCUGGGACACAGGGACACAUGGAUAAUAGCCCAAGUACUUGGGUCCCUGCCAACCACAUGGGAGAUCCAGAUGGAGUUCCCGGCUCCUUGCUUCAACCUGGCCUAACUCUGGCUGUGGUAGAUAUUUGAGGAGUGAACCAGUGGAUGGAAGAUGUAUCUGUUUCUCCCUCUCUUUGUCACUCUGCCUUCCAAGUAAGUGAAUAAAUCUUUUUAAAAAUAAUAAUCCACACAAAACAAAAUUUAGCCAGUUUUAACAUUUUGUUAUUUUUUAUUCUUUUGAGUCUCAUUCAAUUUUUUCCCAUUGAGAAAAAACAUACAUAUCCAGCCUAAUGAGACCUUUCUCAUAAUAUUAAAUGUCUUUUUUUAAAAAGAUUUAUUUAUUUAUUUGAAAGAGUUACACCAAGAGAGGAGAGGCAUAGAGAAAGAGAGAGAGAGAGAGGUCUUCCGUCCGAUGGUUCACUCCCCAAUUGGCCACGAUGGCCAGAGCUGCAUCGAUCUGAAGCCAGGAGCCAGGAGCUUCUUCCAGGUAUCCCAUAUGGGUGCAGGGGCCCAAGGUCUUGGGCCACCUUCUACUGCUAUCCCAGGCCAUAGCAGAGAGCUGGAUCGGAAGUGGAGCAGCCGGCGCUAGAACUGGAGCCCCUAUGGGAUGCUGGCGCUUCAGGCCAGGGCGUUAACCCACUGCGCCACAGCGCUGGCCCCUAUUAAAUGUGUUUUGGAAACCAUUUUUAAUGACAAUAUAGUCAUUUUUCCAAAAUUGUUUAUUAUUAUGAUUAUCAAUUAGAAAGAGAGGCAGACGGAGGAUCUUCCAUCCACUGGUGCAAUCCCCAAAUGUUUACAACAGCCAGGGGUGGGCCAGGCCAAAGCCAGAAGCCAGGAACUCCAUCCAGAUUUCCCACGUGGUGGCAACGACCCAAUUGCUUUAGUCAUCGUCUGCUACCUCUUAGUGUGCACAUUAACAGGAAACUGGAUAAAAAGCGAAAUAGCGGCCAGUACCGCGGCUCACUAGGCUACUCCUCUGCCUGUGGUGCUGGCAUCCCUGGUUCUAGUCCUGGUUGGGGUGCCAGAUUCUGUCCUGGUUGCUCCUCUUCCAGUCGAGCUCUCUGCUGUGGCCCAGGAAGGCAGUGGAGGAUAGCCCAGGUGCUUGGGCCCCUGCACCUGCAUAGGAGACCAGGAGAAGCACCUGGUUCCUGGCUUCGGAUCGGUGCAACUCCAGCCGUAGCAGCCAUUUGGGGGGUGAACCAACGGAAUGAAGACCUUUCUCUCUGUCUCUCUCUCACUAACUCUGCCUGUCAAAAAAAAAAAAAAAAGCGAAGUAGCUGGGACUCCAGCCAGGCACUCCAAUAUGAGAUGCAGUUGUCCCAAACAACAACUUAACUGCUGCGUCAAGCUCCUACCCCUGUUGCCAGUUUUUGACUUGAAACCAAUGCCUGUGAGGGAUAUCUUAUAUGUAAAUCUUAUAUAUAAAUAUGUUUGAAUUUCUGAGUCAAAAACUGUAAACAAGGGCAGGAGUUGUGGUGUAGCAGGCCAAGCCACUGCUUGGGGCAUCUGCAUUCCAUAUGACAGUGCCUAGAGCGAGUUCUACCUCCACGUCCCAUCCAACUUUCUGCUAAUGCACAUCCUGGGAGGCAUCAGGUGGUGGCUCAAGCACUUGGGUCCCUGCCACCCAUGUGGGAGACACAGGUGGACCUGGGUCCCUGGCUCCUGGCUUCAGCCUGGAUGUUGUAGGCUUCUGGCAAGUGAACCAGCCAAUAAAAGACCUUUCUUUCUCUUGUUUGGCUUUUCAAAUAAAUAAAAAUAAAUUUAUUAAAAAACUAACAUUUUAACGUCCUUAAUACAUUUUAUUAAAUUGAUUUCCUAGAAUGUACUAAUUUACAAUCAGUAUUUUCUUAUGAGCUUGCAGUAUAAUCAUUUUAAUCUCUGAGGUAAGUCAAAAGAAAAGCUUAUCUUUUUUAAACUAAUAACCACCUUUAUUAUUUUUGUACAUGUUUAUUUUCAUUAUUUGAAAGGUAGCACAACAGAGAGAAAGAAAGAAAGAUCUUCCAUCGUCUGGUUCACUCCCCAAGUGACUGCAACUGCCAGGGCCUGGGUAGGCCAAAGCCAGGAGCCCAGUACUCCACCUGAGUCUCCAAUAUGGAUGGCACAGGCCCAAGUACUUGGGCCAUCAUCUUCUGCCUUCCCAGGAUACAUUAGCAGGGAACUAGAUCAGAAGCAGAGCAGCCAGGAUUCAAAUCAGCAAUUGGAUCUGGGAUGCUAUGCCACAGUGCCCACCCCACCACCUUUAUUAUUGUUUAGACAGUUUUAUUGAGAUACAACUCAUAAACCAUAAAAUUUACUCAAAGUACACAUUUUUGUUGGUUUUCAGUAUAUUCAUAGAGUUGUGCAACCAUCACCUCAAUCACUUUUAUAACAUUUUUAUCAUAUUAAAAACAGUCCCGGCCGGCGCCGCGGCUCACUAGGCUAAUCCUCUACCUAGUGGCGCCGGCACACCAGGUUCUAGUCCCAGUCGGGGUGCUGGAUUCUUUCCCGGUUGCCCCUCUUCCAGGCUAGCUCUCUGCUGUGGCCUGGGGAAGGCAGUGGAGGAUGGCCCAAGUGCUUGGGCCCUGCACCCCAUGGGAGACCAGGAGAAGCACCUGGCUCCUGCCAUCGGAUCAGCGCGGUGCACCGGCCACAGCGCGCCAGCCGUGGCGGCCAUUGGAGGGUGAACCAACAGCAAAAGGAAGACCUUUCUCUCUGUCUCUUUCUCUCACUAUCCACUCUGCCUGUCAAAAAAACAAACAAACAACAACAACAAAAAAAAACAGUCCCGUGACCAGUAUCAUGGCAUGGUAGGCUAAGCCUCCGCCUGCAGUGCCGGCAUCCCAUAUGGGUGCCAGUUUGAGACCCAGCUGCUUCAGCUCUCUGUUUAUGGUCUGGGAAAGCAGUGGAAGAUUCCCAAGUGCUUGGGCCCCUGCACCCAUGUGGGAGACCCAGAAGAAGCUUCUGGCUUCGGAUUGGUCCAGCUCCAGCUGUUGCAGCCAUUUGGAGAGUGAACCAGUGGAUGGAAGACCUUUCUCUCCCUCUCUCUGUAACUCUGCCUCUCAGAUAAAUAAAUAAAAUCUUUUAAAAAGAGCCCCCAUACUUAUUAGCCAUGACUCAUCUUUUCCCCCAAACUCCUCCUAUCCCGCAGCAGUCACUGAUCUACUUAAAGAUUACUCGAUCCUGAGCAUUUCCUAUAUGGAUCACACAGUAUGUGGCCUUUUGUGUCUGGCUUCUUUCACUUAGCAUAAUAUUUUUAAGGUUCAUUCAUGUUAUACAUACUUACAUCAGUACUUCCUUUCCUUUUUCACUAAAUAUUUCAUUGUAUAACUCAGAAUUCCCAUAUAUUUGGUAUAAUUUAUCCACUCAUCAGUUGGGUUCUCCCUCUUUGGCUAUUGUGAAUAAUUUAGCUAUGAACAUUUGUGUACAUGUUUUUUUAUGGACAUGUGUUUUAAUUUCUCAUGGGUAUACUCAUAUUAAAAAUGGAAUUAAAAGAGAAGUGUAUGCUAGUACAAAAUUUUUUAAAUUCAUAUGUAGUUUUUUCAACGUGCAUUUUCCAUAAAAUUUUUGAAGACCUUCUCAUGUGUAGAUUUCAAAUAAUUCUUGCACCAAAAUAAACAUAUUUUAAUUCCAUUUUUCCACGAACACCUUGACACCCCCUCAUGUGUAUUUGCAAGAGUAGAAUUGAUGGGUUAUAUGGCAACUCUUUAACCUUUUGAGGAACUGCCAAACUCUUCCAAAAGGGCCAUACCACGUUACUUUCCCACCAGCAAUGUAAGAGCUUUCCUAUUUCUCCAUACACUUGCUAACAUGUGUUACCUGUAUUACCUACAUAGUCAUCAUGAUAGUGUGAAGUGUUAUCUCAAGUAGUUUUGAUUUGCAAGAGUUCUUGAUGUAUUUUGAAUACCAGACCUUUAACAGAUAUAACUUGUGAAAUUUCCCUCCUGUUCUGUGGAUAUCUUUUCACUUUCUUGAAGGGGUCCUUUGAAGCACAAAAGAUUUUAGUUUUGAUAUUGUCCAAUCUAUCUGGCUUUCAUUUAUUACAUUGCCCAAUCCAUGUUCACAAAGAUAUAUACCUUUUUUUCUGUAAGAAUUUUAUAGUUUUUUUUUUUAGCUGUUUGAGCUGAUUUUGGUAUACAGUAUGAGAUAUGAGUCCAACUUCAUAUGGCUACCCAGUUGUCCUAGUGCUGAGAACAUUUUAAUAUCCCUGAUUAAUUUACGGCAAAUUAUCUUUCAUCUUGGCUGCUGACAUGGCCAUCCAGACUAAAAAAGACCCAGAAACUUCCCUGCCACAUGAGUCACAGCCAGAGGGCAAGCACCAAAGGCACCCAGGAGGCUGGAUCGCAGGCAUCACUACAGGAUCAACUUUGACAAAUAUCACGCAGGCUACUUUGGGAAAGUUGAUAUGAAGUGUUUCAACUUAAAGAGGAAGCAGAACUUCUGCCCUGCUGUCAGCCUUGAUGAAUUAUGGACCUUGGUCAGCAAGCAGACACCGGGAAAUGCCACUCCCAUCGUUGAUGUGCUGUGGUCAGGCUGCCUGGGGAGGGAGAGCUCCCAGAGCAGCCGUCAUCACGAAGGCUAAGUUACUCAGCAGAAGGCUGAGGGGAAGAUUAAGGCAAUGGGAGCGGUUAGGGGAGAGGGGCCUGUGUCUUGAUGACUUGAUGCCACAUGGUUCAUUAAAUGCUAACAAAUGCUUUAAAAUUUUUUUUUUUACACUGGAAAAUUUUUUUUCCUUUUUUUUAAAUCUUUUUUUUUUUUUUUUUUUUUGACAGGCAGAGUAGACAGAGAGAGAGAGAGAAAGGUCUUCCUUUGCCGUUGGUUCACCCUCCAAUGGCCGGCACACCGCGCUGAUCUGAAGGCAGCAGCCAGGUGCUUCUCUUGGUCUUCCGUGGGGUGCAGGGCCCAAGCACUUGGGCCAUCCUCCACUGCCUUCCCCGGGCCACAGCAGAGAGCUGGACUGGAAGAGGGGCAACCGGGACAGAAUCUGGCGCCCCGACUGGGACUAGAACUCGGUGUGCCGGCACCGCAGGCGGAGGAUUAGCCUAUUGAGCCACGGUGCUGGCCUUAUACUGGCAAAUUUCUGUAUGCCUUCUUAAUGUUUGCUUGUAUCAAAUACAUCUUCUCUAUUGUCUAGAGAGCAGAGGUGUCAGUUUCAUGGAAACAUUGCAAGAAAAACUUCCCAAGUGGUAGUUUUCCACAUGGACUCUUGUGUGUUUUUUUCCCCACAAGGCAAGAAAUGACUAGAGAAAAAAUUCUUAGAUUUAGAAGAUUUUACACAUCUGUUUGUCUAAAUUCCCUUCCACCUCCAUUUUCAUUGGCUACUUUCUUCUGUGUCUGUGUCUGUCCUGCUGUCUUCUUUGAGGUCAUUGGAUUUUGUACCCACCUUGGCAAUCCAGGUUGAUAUUAGUUCAGGGAUCCUUGACUUGAUUACAUCUGAAGAGAUCCUUUUUCCAAAAAAGAUCACAUUUACAGGUUCAUAGCAUUAGGACAUGAACAUAUCUUUUUGAGGGCCAGCAUGCUACCCACUAUACCACCAUCUCCCCUAUCUCGCUGCACUUUUUGCCAGGUUUACUUUAUAACGCCCCUGAUAGCGAGUUGAAGAGUUUGCUGUCAUGGCAUAUUGAUUAUUUUACAUGGCCAUACAUUCUUUUUAUGAGCAGCUCUAAAGCUUAAAAAUUAUUCCUGCUAUUGUGCCAAAACCUGUCAUGAGAUACUUGACAGUACAUUUCCAGGUCUCUCCUACACAGUUAUAGGGGAUAAGAAAGAUGGGUGCCAUGGUUUAUCUGGUUGAGGAUUAACACAUGCAAUGCCUCUCCAGUGCCUCUCUAUUAUUCUGAUACUGCAUUCUAAACAAAAUGAUAUCUUCAAAGAUCAAUAAGAUAAGAAGAAGGGGGAGUGUAUUGAUAUGAAUAUGGCGGUUAGAGACAUUUAUAGUGACAGCAGGUGGAGGUCAGUAUCCUACUGUGACUGUAGGGUGGAUGUGUGUGCAAAUGUAUGUGUGUGAGGGUACAACAGCAGGGGCCCUGGAGGUAGUCUAACAAGUCAUGUCACUCCUUGGCUUCUCACAGCUGUGCAACUUUUCUAAGUUGAUGUUAUAAUAUUCAAGAUUCAUAUUCCUUUUUGAAAAUCACAAUAAUGUGUUUUUAUCUCCAGACUUUCAUUCUCCCCAUUCUCUCUUCUUCAAGUGGUAAUCUGUAUUUGUUUGCAUGGUUAUACAUGCAAAUUCUUGGUCUCUUGGGUGAAAUUCAUUCAGAAAUAUCAAAGUGAACUCUGAAGUAACUGUCUUUCAUUCAUUUCACUUGUACUUCUUUUUGCGUUCAAUCUUUUCUCAAAUAUUUCCAACUUGAGCAUCACUUUGAACAUUUUUUAUUAGUUGACUUUGCUUAGUAUUACACUAACUUCUCUAAACAAAUAAAAAAACUUGAGGCUAGUCACUAAACCUGACCACAUGAACAAUGAAGAUUAAAGGAUGCCAGACUCAGAGGCCUCACUAAAGACAAGCACCAGAGACAUCCCUAGAGGAACUGUGUUCACCAACAUGCAAGCUAUAGAGACAUUAUUCAUUAAGAAUUCAUGCCUGAAUUCCAGUCUUUGGAAAGGAUGUCCUCAAAAAUUGGCAUAUAUCCAGCAGUAAUACAGAUUUAUUUUUUUUUAAGAUUUAUUUAUUUAUAUGAAAGAGUUACACAGAGAAGGAGAAUCAGAGAGAGAGAAGGCUUCCAUCUGCUGGUUCACUCCUCAAUUGACCGCAACAGCUGGAGCUGUGCUGAUCCGAAGCCAGGAGCCAGGAGCUUCUGCCUGGUCUCCCACAUCGGUACAGGGGCCCAAGGACUUGGGCCAUCUUCUACUGCUUUCCCAGGCCACAGCAGAGAGCUGGAUUGGAAGUGGAGCAGCUGGAACUCGAACCAGCGCCCAUGUGGAAUGCUGGCACUGCAGGUGGCGGCUUUUCCUGCUAUGCCACAGUGCCGGCCCCAGUAAUACAGACUUAUUUUAAAAAACUUCAGACCAAAACUCAAGAAAUAAAAACCACAAGUGGAGCCCGUGCUGUGGCAUAGUGGGUUAAGCCGCCGCCUGCAGUGCCAGCAUCCUGUGUGGGUACCGGUUCGAGUCCUGGCUGUUCCACUUCCAAUCCAGCUCUCUGCUAUGGCCUGGGAAAGCAGUAGAAGUUGGCCUAAGUCCUCGGGCUCCUUAUCCACAUGGGAAAGCCAGAAGAAGUUCCUGGCUUCUGUCUUUGGAUUGGCCCCAGCUCUGGCCAGUGCAGCCAACUGGGGAGUGAACCAACAGAUGGAAGACCUCUCUCUCUCCCUCUCUUCUCCCUUCUUCCCUCCCUCCCUCCCUCCCUGCAUCCAUCCCUCUCUCUCUCUCUCUGCUUCUCCUUCUCUCUUCUCCCUCUGUGUAACUCUGACUUUCAAAUAAAUAAAUCUUAAAAAAAAAAAAAAAAAAAGCACACAAGCAUUUUCAGUAAAAUCAGCAAAAAGUCAGCAAUAGCAAUUACCUUAGGGAGAAGUCUGAAGAAAAUUAGGCAUACCACCCAGAUCUGCUAAUGGGGACCAGUCUUGUUUCCCUGAUUUCUAUAAAUCAUCUGAUAUCUUCAGCCCAAGUUAGCAUAUUCUAAUUUCAGGAUCUCUAAAAACCACUAUGUAUAAAUUAGCCUAUUAUGGUACUGCUAAAACCCUGACAUAUAUUGGCUCUUCCCCAUUUUGGACCCUGAAGUUCUUUUCCCAAGUUGAAGUUCUAAUUCUUUGAUUUCUUCACCUCUAUGUAGAAUUUACAGUUCUGACCUGUAAGAAAGAAUAAAAUGGUCAUUGAGGGUAGGGAAAAAAAUGUUAUCUCAUGCUUGGCCUUUGUUUGUAUUGGGUUUUCAUGUGUCCUCUAAUAAAUGCAUCUCCAGUGGGUUUUUUUUUUCCUCUUAUGGCUGUUUCCCUCUGUCUUUCCCUCAUCAGAUUCGAUUAUAUUAUAAUUUUGUUCUUAAAACCUUACAUUCCAUCUGUCUUGGAUUAAACUCUCCCUUUUUUAAAACAACUUUAUGCAUUUAAUGAAUACAAAUUGGGAACAUGGUGAUUCUUCCUUCCCCCACCUCUCACCCAUACUGCCUCCUUCCUUUCCCAUUGUUCAAAAGUCUCUCCUCUACUGCACCAGAACACCAGCCUCACAUUCCUUCAUAGUGAUGGUUAUCUUACUGUGUUUCUGUGUGGAGCACAUCCUUAACCAUCUUUUGUUAGGCUGGAUGAGUGAAGACAAAUUCUUUUCAUUUCUGUUUGUUAUGGAAGGUCUUUAUUUCACCUUCAUUCAUAAAUGAGAGCUUUGCAGGUUACAGUAUCUGAGUUGAUGGGUUUCUCUCUCUCUCUCUUAAAGUUUUAUUUAUUGAUUUGAAAUUCAGAGUUACACAGAGAGAAAGAGGCAGAGAGAGAGUGGGGUGGGGGGGUCUUCCAUCCACUGGUUCACUCCCCAAUUGGUUUCAAUGGCCAAAACCGAGCUGAUCCGAAGCCAGGAGCUGGGAGCUUCUUCCAGGUCUCCCACGCGGGCACAGGAGCCCAAGCACUUGAGCCAUCUUCUACUGCUUUCCCAGGCCAUAGUAGAGAGCUACAUCAGAAGUGGAGCAGCCGGGGCUCAAACUGGUGGUCAUAUGGGAUGCCGGCACUGUAGGCGGCGGCUUUACCCGCUGCGCCACUGCGCCGGCCCCAGUUUUUUUUUCUCUUAAGAUUUGGACUAUAUCAUGCCAUUCUCUCCUAGCCUGUGGGGUUUCUGAUGGGGAGUCAGCUGUAAGUCUAAUUGGAGAUCCUCUGAAAGUAAUCUGGCAUUUCUCUUGUGCACAUUUGAGAAUCUUUUCUUUAUGUUUUACCAUGGUGAGUUUGACUGCAUUGUGUUGUGGUGAAGAUCUUUUUUGGUCCUGUCUAUUAGGAGUUCUGUGUGCUUCCUCUACUUGGACGUCCCUUUCUUUCUCCAAAUUAGGAAAGUUUUCUGUAAUUAUUUCAUUAAAAAGGCCUUCUAGUCCCUUCUCUCUUUCCACACCUUUAAGCACUCCUAAGACCCGUAUAUUGGGUCGUUUGGUAGUAUCCCACAGAUCUCCAACAAUGUGUUUAGUUUUUUUAAUUUCUUUCUUUCUUUCUUUCUUUUUUUUUUUUUUUUUUUGGUCUGACUAUAAGAUUUCCAGAGAUUUGUCCUCUAACUCAGGUAUUCUUUCUUCUGCCUCACCAACUCUGUUGUUAAGGCUUUCCUCUGCAUUUUUUAUUUAAUCUAUUGAAUUCUUCAUUUCUAAUAUUUCAUUUUUAUUUUUCUUCAAAAUCUCAAUUUCAUGGGAAAAAUUUUCAUUCAUGUCAUGUAUGGAUUUCUUUGGUUCAUGGAUUUGCUUCUGAUUGCUUUUGAGUAAUCCUGUUUAAUUUUUUUAAUUCUGUUUCCAGCAUUUCCUCAAUCUCUUCAUCUUCACCUUCUAAUAUUGUGUCUUCCUUAUCCUUGUUUCUUAAAUUUCUGCAUUUAUUUUUAGACAUUUGUGGAAUUUUUUUUCCUCUGAUGGCUUUUAUCUUUGAGCUGUGCCUCUGUGGCUAGAGGAAUGUCUGUACUCUCAGUGGAUACCAAGAGGUGUGUGGUGAAUGUGGCCAGGGAGGUCUGGUCAGUGCUCCAGGAUGGGGUGAGUACCCAGAGUAAUACUCAAGUUGGACAUGGUGACUCUUCUCUGGUUAACUGGAUGGAGAGAAAUGUUUUCCUCUGUUGGUGCAAACACCCCUUCUCCUGCAAUCUGAGGAGUGCCCAGGUGUUAGCAACCAGUGUGUUCAAUGUUCUUCCACACUGCCCUGUAAACUGUGCAGUCCUUCCUGUGGGCACGAUUCCCUCUCAUGUGAGCUGCUCUAGGCAACCAAGGAGCUCUGAGAGUGCAGCAGCACUCUGUGAUUGCCCAGAACCCAGCUACACCAUGCCUCCUUGCACACAGUCAGAGUGUUUAUUCAGUCUCAGCACCCAGUGCUCUCAGGGUCAAGGAGUACAAGUGGCCACUCUGCCCUGCUAGCCUAUCCUGUCUGCAGGGAGACUGAGGUAUUCCCAGAGCUGCUGUCCAUGUGUGUUCCUGCCCACUGGAUGGAGUCCAGUUCUCCAACCAGAUUCAAAGUCAGUGGGGAACGUGAGUUUUUCUCUCUGCUAAGAUCUCUGGAUCACAGGCACACACAGAACCCGCCAGCCACAGCCUCAUUUGCCUCAUAAUUGUGCUGGGUACAUAGGAGAGUCCCAGAGGCAGCACUUCCCUUCCAUAGGGAUGGCUUCCCCCUCCCCACCUGUUCCCUGGUGGGUGUAGCUGGUGUGGUGAAGAUCAUCCCCAUCAGUUGUCAGUUGCUCUUUUUUUUUUUUUUUUAAUUUGGAGCUCAAAGACUUAUUUAUUUAUUUAUUUUUCCCAAAGAAACUUUAUUUAAGGAAUACAAACCUCAUGCAUUUCCUGAAUACAACUUUAGGAACACAGUGAUUCUUCCCACCAUACCUGCCUUCCUACCCCUCUUCCUCUUCCCUCUUCUAUUCCCAGUCUUAUUUUUUAUUAAGAUCUAUUUUCAGUUAACUUUAUACACAUAAAAUUAACUCUAUACUAAGAAUUCAACAAGUUGUAUGAAAAAAAGCGGUUCCUUAACAGUCAAGACAAGGGCUGUUCAAAGUCAUUGCAUCUUGAAGUUGAUUUCACUUUUUUUUUUUUUUUGAGAAACUUAAUUAAAUUUUUUUUAGAUUUAUUUUAUUAUAUUUCAAAGACAGAGUUACAGAGAGGUAGAAACAGAGAGAAAGGUCUUCCAUCUGCUGGUUUACUCCCCAGAUGGCCGCAACAGCCGGAGCUGUGCCAAUCCAAAGCCAAGAGCCAGGAGCUUCUUCUGGGUCUCCCACGCGGGUGUGGGGGCCCAAGGACUUGAGCCAUCUUCUACUGGCUUGCCAGGCCAUAGCAGAGAGCUGGAUUGGAAGAGGAGCAGCUGGGACUAGAACCAGCGCCCAUAUGGGAUGCCUGUGCUUCAGGCCAGGGCUUUAACCCACUGCGUCACAGUGCCAGCCCUGAGAAACUUAAUUAACCUUAAAGAAGAACCCAAGAAUGAUACAUCAUUUGCUAGCACUUACACAUAACUAUAACUUAUGAGACAUAAGAUUAUCUUCCACUUAAUACACUAAAACAAGUAAAUCUUUGAGAACAAGUUUUACUGUUAACUUUCAUAAUCCAACUCUUUGAGGACAGAGGUCCUGCAUGGGAAGUUAGUGCACAGUGACUCUUGUUAAUUUAACAAUUAACAUUCUUACCUGAGGUUCUUGACAUGAGCUGCCUAGGCUAUGGAAGCCUUUUGAAUCCACAAACUCCUUCAGUAUUUAGACAAGGCCAUAAGCAAAAUAGAAGUUCUCUCCUCCCUUUAGAGAAAAGUACCUCCUCCUCCUUUGAUGACCACAUCAAUUGAUCUUGAACUGCUGUGGUUGCCCCUGCUGACUGGGUGGAGGUUGACCCUGACAGUUGCUGGGUGUGUGCACAAGAGCUGGAAUAGCUGCUACCUGCUUAUGUCCAAAAAUGGCGCCAGCCCUCCCACCACUGGCUGCAGGUCACUGUUGUAGGGGAGGGAGGGGGAGAGAGAGGGUUGUACCACUUUUUUCCCCCACUCUGGGUGAGCAGUUGCCCCGCUGCCCUGAGGGAUCUGGGCCAGACUCAAAAGUGGUGCAGGUCACUAAGCUCUCCCUCCAGCUGCAUCAACAGCAGCGCAGGCCUGUGCAGUCCAGUCUCACCUGGUUUGCCAGGACGGGCAUUUUUUCCUGGCUCCAAGCUGCUGCGACCUUUGUUGUUUCAUUGCUCCUCGCUGUGUGCCUGCACCUUCCACACAGGUCUGGGCCUGUGCUUUCUAGGGCUUUCGCAGGACCUCCCAUUGCAGUUUGCCCUGCAGCUUCACCCUGAGAGUGGACUUUCUCACCUUUUUUUUUUUUUUUUUACAUUAAUUUCACCACCAGCCUAAAUUAGACCACUCUUCACUAUUCUACCAUCUUGGAACCCCUGAUUAAACUCUGUUUUAUAGUUUCUGACUUGGAUUAUACCUCUGAACACUGAAAUUCAGUCUCUUAGAGUCGAGGGUUUUCCCAUGCCAAAUGUUUCCUUCCUUUGCUGUUACAAGCACACUCAAUUCUUUUCAAGCUCGUGUCGUUCCUUCAUCACCUAUAGUGUCCUCCUUGUCAGUCAUUAGAAAUAAAAUUGUCAAUAUGGAAACAGUUUAACAGGUGCUCUACUUUUACCAGAACAAAACUUCUCCCUCAUGGGUGGCAAGGUGAUGUCUCCCAGUACUCCUCUAUGUUGUGUCUGUAUCCCUUUAUCAGGAAGUCUCACUGUGGUUUAGCCACAACAGUAUCACUGGAGUUGAACUACCUUUCUAGUGUCAUGACCUUUGCCUCCGUGAGUUAACCUUCCAGGUUUACUUUUCUCAUUAUCCAUAUUCUAGAGAUUGGUAUUAGGAAUGAGGCCAUUAGCUUGCUUUCUUCCUACUUGAGUUUUUGUAGUAAAUUAUUGGGAGACUGUACUAAUGUUGGCAUCGCACCAGCACCUCUGUGUGGCAGUUCUGCUCAUUUUUAGGUAAUCUUACAAGACUUCAAACUCUACCCUGUUUUUGACUUUAUUUUAAAAAAAAUUUUUUUUUGAUAGGCAGAGUGGACAGUGAGUGAGAGAGAGACAGAGAGAAAGGUCUUCCUUUUUCCGUUGGUUCACCCCCCAAUGGCCGCUGCAGCCAGCAUGCUGCACACCAUGCUGAUCCGAAGCCAGGAGCCAGGUGCCUCUCCUGGUCUCCCAUGCAGGUGCAGGGACCAAGGACUUGGGCAAUCCUCCACUGCCCUCCCGGGCCACAGCAGAGAGCUGGCCUGGAAGAGGGGCAACUGGGACAGAAUCUGGUGCCCCGACCAGGACUAGAAUUUAUUUAUUUAUUUGAGAGGUAGAGUUACAGACAGUGAGAGGGAGAGACAGAGAGGAAAGUCUUCCGUCCAUUGGUUCACUCCCCAAAUGGCCACAACAGCUGCAGCUGCGCCAGUCCGAAGCCAAGAGCCAAGAGCUUCUUCCAGGUCUCCCAUGAGGCUGCAGGGGCCCCAAGGACUUGGGCCAUCUUCCGCCGCUUUCCCAGGCCAUCAGCAGAGAGCUGAUCGGAAGAGGAGCAGCCAGGGCUAGAACCAGCACCCAUAUGGGAUGCCGGCACUACAGGCGGAGGAUUAACCUACUGCACCACAGCACCAGCCCCCCUGUUAUUGACUUUAAUGUUUGCUUCAUAUAGCUAAUAGCAGAAGUGAAACAUUCUUCUUUCCCCCUCUCAUUUCCUUAAAUGCAUGGCAGAUUUGGAUGAAAUGAACUCUUUUAAGGAAAUUAAGCAAAGGGUGUGCUGUUUGCCAGAUACUAUCUUUUAACCAGCAUUGAUAGAGUCCAAGUUUAGGGAAAAGAAAGGAUGGCAAAUAAAGUCAAAGUAGGCUUCUUCAGAAAUUUAAAAAACCUUUAAAGUACCACCUAAUAUCAUCAUUAGAUAGGUAGCAGACAGGAUUGGAUGGAUGGGUGGAUGGGUAAUCUGAAGACCUUCUCCUUUAUGGGAGCCAAAUUUAUUCAUUCUUUCUUUCUGAGCAAAGCAAAGGGUGUUUAUUACAGAGUCAGAGAAAGCUCUCCAGCAGCUGGGAGUGCCUCCCCGAAGGGCUGCUUGCCUAAACUGCUUCCAAAUUGUUUUUUAAAUCAGAUAAACACCUGAACUAUCAAGGAUAGAUUUAUUUAGCAAAUAUUCCUAUAGACUUUACUGUGGGAUAUAUUACAAAAUGCUUUUCAAACAAUAACUUAAUCUUCAUUACAGGAAAGGAAAUAUUAUUCAGUCCCACUUUACUAAUAGGAUGAGGAAAUUGAGGCUUAAAAGAGUUUAUAUAACAUCCUUAAGGUCACUUAAGCUAGAAAUUUGAAUUCAAGAAAUCUUACUUCAGAGUCUGCUUCUUAAAUAUUAUGUCAUGCAACCUUUCCCAUCUAUUUUUCUCCCAAAGUUUCAAUGGAGAAAAAUGCUACAACCUUUACCAGAAAACACCUUAUGCAGGGCAGGUGUUGUGUGGUACAAUCAUGACAUGGAAUGCCUGCAUCCCAUAUUGGAGUGCCAGUUGGAGUCUUGGCUACUCUGUUUCCAAUCCAGCUUCCUGCUGUUGCAUCUUGGGAGGCAACAAGAGAUGGCUCAAGAGUUGGGCCUUUGCCACACGCAUGGGAGACCCAGAUUGAGUUCUGGGCUCCUGGCUUUGGUCCGGCCCAGACCCAACUCUUAGGUACCUUUGGAGAAUGAACCAGUGAAUAAAAGCUCGUACUCUCUCUGACUCUACUUUAUCUUCUUUGUCAGUAGAUAAAGAAAUAAACAUUUAAAAAAGUACUACAGCAUACGAAAAGGGAGUCAGGUCUGGAAGCAUUAUAAAAUGACACUUUUAAAAAAAGAAAAUACCUAAUGAGCAUGAAAUAUCUUUAAAAGCUAUGUAUCUGAAUAAGGCCUUUGUCAGAUGUAUAGCACCUUGACUUUCUUCGUUACAGCUUUCCCAAAAGCUGCUUAGUUGGAGUGUUCCCUCCUCAUUAUUAUUGUCUGUUUGUUCCACCCACUCCUUUCCCAACCUCAAAUUGCAUGAUUUGUAUCUAGCUCUCAUUUGUGUAUCUUUGACCACAAGCUCCUUUUUGUUAGGGGACUGUGAGAAGUUUAUUGUGUCCAGGGUUAGACUAAUGAGGUCCUUUCAUCUAUUUCUUUUUUACCUUAAUUAUAAUUCUUGCCUGCUAAUUAUUUCUGCCUACCCGUGUUCAUGUAUAGUCUGCUCUUUGCAUGUAAGUUUUGUUAGUGUCAGAAAUGCUUUCCCAUGUCUGCCUUUUUUUUUCUGUUUCUUUUCUAAGUAUAUUAAUCUUUAUUGUCUUAAGAGAAAUUCUGUUGUAAUUAAUUUCACAUAUAAUGACUUACUGUGUACAUGAACUUCCUGGGACCUCUGAAUAAAUCUACUGAGGACUUCUUUGGUAAGGAAUUUUUCUCCUGUGAUGAAGAGAAAGAGUCCCAAGAAAAUAAAUCAGUAAACAGAAAACUAAGGAUUCCAUUUAAUACCUGCUUUUCUUUCCAGUACUUGAUGUGUUUUAAAAUUGGUUUAUGCUUUCCUUUUUGGUAGUUUUCACAUUUCCCUGGUGACUGUACAACUGUCUAAUCUAUAAUUAUAGUGAGAAGAUUAGAAAAUAAUUAAGAAGUUAGCUCCUUGUAAGUCACCUACCUCUAGCCUAACCAAAGCUGUAGCAAGUGGUAGGUAACAUGAAGUUGUCACUAGACUGCUUGUGACUCAAUGACACCAGUUAUUACUCUCAUAAAAGCUACCAACCUGGGGCCGAUGUUGUGGUUUAGCAGAUUAAGCCACCGUCGGCAGCAACAGCAUUCCAUAUGGGCACCAGUUCAAAUCCCAGCUGUUCCACUUCAAUCCAGCUCCCUGCUAAUGUGCCUGGGAAUGCAACAGAGAAUGGCCCAUGUCCUUGGCCUCUGUACCCAUGCGGGAGACCCAGAAGAAGUUUCUGGCUCCUGGCUCUUGGCUUCAGCCUGGCCCAGCCCUGACUGUUGUAGCCAUUUGGGCAGUGAACCAGCAGAUGGAAGAUCUCUCUCUGUCUCAUUUUCUCUCUCUGUAACUCUGCCUAUCAAAUAAGUAAAUAUUAAAAAAAAAAAAAAGCCACCAAUGGAAGUCUGUAUAUUUUAGUGUAUAAUUGUUGCUAUUUAUGCCAUGAUGUUUCUCAAGAAACUGCUGGGGUUUUUGUGAGCCAUGUAAACCUUCAAAUGUGAACCUUCAAUAGUCAUUAAAUUUGUAUUGACUCCUUGUCAUGUGCUAGUCAUUAUACUAGGAACCAAGGCAGAUAUGAAGAUGAAUAAAAUGUAGUUCUUCUUGUCAAGGAGCUUAUAAUCCCAUACAUGCCCAAAUUGUUAAUAUGUAGAAUAUUUAUAAGGAUUACAAGAAAUGCUUAAGCGGAGCCAGUGCCAUGGCUCACUUGGUUAGUCCUCUGCCUGCGACGCCAGCAUCCCAUGUGGGUGCCGGAUUCUGGUCCUGGUUGCUCCUCUUCCAGUCCGGCUCUCUGCUGUGGCCCUGGAAGGCAGUGGAGGAUGGCCCAGGUGCUUGGGCCCUUGCACCCGCAUGGGAGACCAGGAAGAAGCACCUGGCUCCUGGCUUCAGAUGAGUGCAGCGCCGGCCGUGGCGGCCAUUUCGGGACUGAGCCAGCGGAGAGAGGACCUUUCUCUCUGUCUCUUUCUCUCUCACUGUAACUCUACCUGGCAAAAAAAAAAAAAUCUUUAAAAAAAAAAUGCUUAAGCAAAGAGCUGAAAACAUUCAUAGACUAAGGAAAAUUACUGUUGGCUAAAGAGGAAUCAAAGAGUCCUUUAUGGAGAAACUUGCAUUUAGGUUGUUUUGUUUUUAUUAUUUUUUCAAAGCCCACAGUCUUUUUUUGUUUGUUUUUUAAAUAUUUAUUUAUUUUAUUUGAAAGGCAGAGGCAGAGAGAGAGGUCUUCCAUCUGCUGGUUUACUCCCCAAGUGGCCACAAUGGCUGGAGAUGUGUUGAUCCAAAGCCAGGACCCUGGAGCUUCUUCCGAGUCUCCCACAUGAGUGCAGAGGCCCAAGGACUCGGGCCAUCUUCCAUCUGCUUUUCAGGUCAUAGUAAUGAGCUGAGUCAGAAGUGGAGCAGCUGGGACUCAAACUGGCACCCACAUGGGAUGCCGGAACUGCAGGUGGCAGCUUUACAUGCUAUACCGUAGCACUGGCCCCUUGUUUUGUUUUUUAAAGAUUUAUUUAUGCCGAAGGAAGAGUAUCAGAGAAAGAGAAAGAAGAAGGAAGGGAACGAGAGAAAGAUCUUUCAUUUAUCUGCUGAUUCACUCCCCAAAUGACUGCAACAGCCAGGGGCUGGACCAGGCUGAAGACGGGAGCCUGGAAUUCCAUCCUGGUCUCCCACAUAGGUGCAGGGGCCCAAACCGUUGGGCCAUCUGCUGCUGCUUUUUCAGGUCAUUAGCAGGGAAUGGAUUGAAAGUGGAACAGCUGGGAAUUGAACCAGCACUCACCAAAAAGGAAACCUGUUAAAGUGAAAUGAACACUGCGAGAAACAGUGACUUGAUCAGCCCUCACCCUGACUGUUGAUGAGCAACUUAAUAUGUUAUCCCUCUUAGUAUUUUUGUUUGUUUGUUCUACUUAAUACUUUUGGUUGAAUACUGUAAUCAAUACACAAUUCUUCUUAAGUGCUGAAACUUAACUGAAAAGUGAUCGCUGUUAAAUAUAAGAGUGGGCAUAAGAGAGGGAAGAGAUGUGCAAUUCGGGACAUGCUCAAGCUGACUUACCUCAAACGGUAGAGUUAGAAACAUACCAGGGGAUUGCAAUUCAAUCCCAUCAAGGUGGCAUGUACCAAUGCCAUCUCACUAGUCCCAGUGAUCAAUUUCUGUUCACAAUUGAUCAUAAUGAUAGGACUAAGAACCAAAGGGAUCACAUAAACAAGAAUAGUGUCUGCAAAUACUAGCUGAUAGAAUAAAAAAGGGAGAGAACGAUCCAACAUGGGAAGUGAGAUACACAGCAGACCCAUAGAAUGGCAGAUGUCCUAAACAGCACUCUGGCCUCAGAAUCAGCCCUUAAGGCAUGCGGAUCCGGCUGAAAAGCCCAUGAGAGUAUUACAGGCAUGGAAAGCCAAAACACUCUGGCAUUUAAAAAAAAAAAAAAAACUAAAUGAAAGAUCUCUGUGAGUGAGAUCCCAGUGGAAAGAACGGGUCAUCAAAGAAGGAGGUACCUUUCUCUGAAGGGAGGAGAGAACUUCCACUUUGACCAUGGCCUUGUCUAAAUAUGAUUAGAGUCGGUAAACUCAGGGGGCUUCCAUAGCCUUGGCAGCUCAUGACAAGAGCCUAGGGUGAUUACUGAUGCCAUAAACAAGAGUGUCAAUUUGUUAAGUCAACAACAGGAGUCACUGUGCACUUACUCCUCAUGUAGGAUCUUUGUCCUUAGUGUGCUGUACAUUGAGAUUUAAUGCUAUAACUAGUACUCAAACAGUAUCUUUCACUUUAUGUUUCUGUGUGGGAGCAAACUGUUGAAAUCUUUACUUAAUGUAUGCCAAACUGAUCUUCUGUAUAUAAAGAGAAUUGAAAAUGAAUCUUGAUGUGAAUGGAAGUGGGGAGGGAGAGGGAAAGGGGAGGGUUGCGGGUGGGAGGGACGUUAUGGGGGGAAGCCAUUGUAAUCCAUAAGCUGUACUUUGGAAAUUUAUAUUCAUUAAAUAAAAGUUAAAAAAAUUUAAAAAAAAAAAAAAAGGAAAGAGGAAAUUAAAUUAAGCACCCAGUUGAGAAUAGUUGGCUAGACAAACAAAAGCUUGCAUUGUCUUUAUGAUAUUAUCUUUGGUUCUCUACAAAAUCAAAUUACUUCCUUAUAAUUUUAGUAGAUUCCAAUUAUUUACCUUAAAAGCCAUGUUAUGUUAAUAAAACACAUUGAUAUAAGGUCUUCUUGGGAGCAUAAAAAUCAUCUGUGGCUUAGGACGCCUUCAUUCAAGUGUCUUCAGCUUUGUACCAGGUUUUUGUUUUAAAGAUUUAUUUUUUUCUUUAUUUGAAAGGCAGAGUUAGAGGGAAAGGCAGAGAGAGAAAGAGAUCUUCCAUCCACUGGUGCAUUCCCCCAAAAGGCUGUAAUGGCCAGGGCUAGGCCAGACUGAAGCCAGGAGCCAGCAGCUUCUUCUGGGUCUCCUAUGUGGGUGCAGAGGCCCAAGCACUUGGACCAUCUUCAGCUGCUUUCCCAGGUGCAUUAGCCAGGAGCUGGAUCAGAAGUGGAGCAGCCAGGACUGGUGGCCAUGUGGGAUGCUGGCAUUGCAGGUGGUGGCUUUAUGAUCUAUGCCACAAUGCUGCUCCCUGCCCCAAGUUUUCUGCUUUUUGUUUUGAAAGAGACUAAAUGUUCUAUCCACUACUUCUCUGCCCAAAUGGCCAUAACAGCCAGGGCUGGGCCAGGCUGAAGCUAGGAACCCAGAACUCAAUCUGAGCCACCACCACUGGGCUCACAGGGUACACAUUAGCAAGAAGCUGAAAUCAGAAAUGGAGCUAAGACUCAAACCCAGGCACUCCAACAUGGGAUGCAAAUGCUCUAGGUGGGUCCUUAACUAUUGUGGCCAGUGUCCACCCCUGUACCGGCCUUUAAUGUUCUUCCUCCUCUUCCAUUUUGUGUAUCCUUAGGCAGUAAGAAUCCCAGCAGAAACAAGAGACUGUUUACUUCUUUCAGGGACUCUUUUUCUUGUAGGCAGGUCUCAAUUUAUAUCUUACAGCAAAAAGAAAUAAAUGAGAAUUGGGGCAUAUUAGGAAUGUUUGUUAAAAUUAUAUUACAAUCGUCCGGCGCCACGGCUCACUAGGCUAAUCCUCCGCCUUGCGGCUCCAGCACACCGGGUUCUAGUCCCAGUCAGGGCGCCGGAUUCUGUCCCGGUUGCCCCUCUUCCAGGCCAGCUCUCUGCUGUGGCCCGGGAGUGCAGUGGAGGAUGGCCCAAGUGCUUGGGCCCUGCACCCCAUGGGAGACCAGGAGAAGUACCUGGCUCCUGCCAUUGGAUCAGCACGGUGCGCCAGCCGCAGUGUGCAGGUCGCGGCGGCGGCCAUUGGAGGGUGAACCAACGGCAAAGGAAGACCUUUCUCUGUCUCUCUCUCUCACUGUCCACUCUGCCUGUCAAAAAAAAAAUUACAAUCAUAAAUCCCUUUCUUUUUUAAAAUGUGUAUUUGAAAGGCAGAGAAAAAGAAAUGAGAGAGAGAGACAGACAGACAGAGAGAUGUCCCAUCCAUUGGUUCACUCCCCAAAUGCCUACUAUAGAGGAGACUGGGCCAAGCUGAAGCCAGGAGCAAGGAACUCAAUCAAGGUCUCCCAUAUGUGUGGUAGGGACCCAACCAGUAAAGCCAUCACAUGCUGCUUCCCAAAGUGUGCAUUGUCAGAAAGCUGGAAUCAGGAUCAGAAUCGGAACUCAAGUCCAGGCACUCUUACAUGGGAUGCAGGCAUCUCAAGCAGCAUCUUAAACACUAUGCCAAAUGCCUGCAUCAAAUUCUUGUUUCUUAAUUGAUAGAACAAUCAAUUUAAAGCUUAAAAUCAUAAGCACUAGUUUCACAAUAUUAAAUUUUCAAAGAUACUAGUAAAUCCAUUGAAUGUUACUGCCUUUCUUUGUAUGUGAUGAAGAGAAAAGAUUCCAUCUAACUUAAAAUAAAUGCAGGUAUUUUCAAAGAGCAUGAAGAUCUUAGCCUGUAGUAUGCCAGGCUCUUCAUUUGAGUUCUCCCCCAUUUCAAAAAUACCAUGAUUCCCACAUGUCCUGUAGAUGGCAGUAGCUAUAUGGAAAAAUCUAAGUUCAUUCAAGAGGUUUAAGAGUGAUUAACAGAUGGAGUCUUUAGUGAAUAAGAUUUAGUUGAAAUAUUUGUUCUUUGUCAAUGUUUGUUACUGAUUUUAAAAAAUCAGUUAUAAUUUCUCUUACUCAUGAUGUUUCCAUUUAAUUGUCUUCUGUCGUCACCUGACCUUCCCACCCUUCACUUUGGUUUCAGAAAUCACAUUAUACACCAUUUCUCUUUAGAGGGCAGUGAUUGGAAACUGGGUGAUUGCACACACAAUAGCAUCUUGUGUAAAGUUUCAUCUCAAGAAAGCAGACUGUCAGAUGAUAAAAAUCCUCACAGGAACAGUAAACCAGAGCCAUAUAUGUUUCAAAUGCACAUUUAUUACAAAUCUACAGCUCAGAGUCAAUCAAGUAUAUUUUUGCAUGGGGAGAAGUAGCUUAUUCGGGAAUAUGAGAAGCUUUCUCGUUCUCCCUGCAUAGUGGGGAUUUUUGAAGGGGGAUUCACUCAGUAUUUAAUGAGUGCUUAUGGUAGGCCCUAUGCACCCUGCACUACCUCAGUGAAAGGACAUGAUACUGCCUUCAGACAGCCUUCCCAAGUCAGUAAAGUGUGGUAAUUGCUGUGUCUGGAGAAGGCUACUUCAGAAAUGGAUAGUAUUGGUUGCCUUUGGGGUGAGAAACUAGGUGGUUAGGGGAUAGAGUGGGAGAGAAGCUUCUCAUUGAGUUAAGACUCUGCUGUUUGAACCAUGGUGGAUUUACUACCCAUAUAAAAAUAAAGCUAGAUUUCCUUGGUAUGUCUUAUUACCACAUCUGAGGACAAUACAUCAAUUUUCUUUUACUUAGAGGGUUGUGUAGCCUACUAAACUUCUACUAAACAUUUACUAGAUAGAAACGUAUUGCACAGGAUCAUUAAAGUAUCUAACAUUUUUGGUUUUGGUUACAGGGAACUUCCCGCUUUUUAUUUUUCAUGCCUCUCACUUAGUAUAUCCGAUAAACAUCAAGUGGCUGUGAGUAGGAGUGGUUUCUCCCCAAGAAACCAACUGUAGAUUUUUUUUUAACAACAGCAAAGAGCUGUUUGUUUCUGUAUUUGUUUGGUUUUUUUUUUUUUUUUUCUGUUUUAAUGGAAAUUACACAUGAGAUGUGCCAGAUAAUCCUGGCAGAAAACACAUUGUGAACAGAAAAAAAUCUGGUUAGGAAAUAUGGUUCAUUUAGUAAAUUCAGAAUUAGAGCGAACUAGUAGCUUUCUUUGGUGAAAUGAAUUAUGAUAUGCUAUUGAAGGAGUCAUAUUAGGACAUAAAGAGGUAUCAACUCUCUUGAAAUAAAUUCUUACAGCUAAACUUAAAAUACUGAGACUGAAAAGAAAUUCAAUAGAAUCAGUAACCCCCAUGUCCUUAGAAAUUCUGUAUAUGUUUUGGGAUCAUGUAAAGAUCAUAUUGAAGGUUGUAAAGAAACAAAAUUUUAGGCCUAGUUGAAACCUGAUAAAAAGAUCAGAAUAAAAGUCAAAUAUACACAGGGAAUUGUAUAAGUUACCAACCUUAUAUAUAUGCAUAUUUGCUGAGGUACAGUGCACAUUAAUUGGCUAGUUAAUCUUUAUGAACUCUGUUUCUGUUAAUUGGAUAAUAAAAACAACUAAUGGGGGCAGGCGUUUAGCCUAGUGGUUAAGGUGCCCAUGUUCCACAUCAGAGUGCCUUGGUCUGAUUCCAGCCCUUGCUCCUGACUCCAGCUGUCUGCUAGUGCAGACCUUGGGAGGCAGUGGUGGCUCAAGUAAUUGGGUCCCUGCCAACCAUGUGGGAAACCUACACUGCAGUUUUGGCUCCUGGCUCCAGUUUUGCCCAGACCAGUGCAUGGGGGUUUUCUCUUGGUCUGUCAGUAUGGUGCCUCUCUCUCUCCCCCUCUCUCCCUCUCUCCCUCUCUCCCUCUCUCCCUCUCUCCCUUUCUGUCUGCCUCACAAGUAAAAACAUAAAAAGAGCUAACAUUUUAGUAGUGUAUGUAAUUUAUAGAUCACUUUUGCACUGUUUAUCUCAGUUGAGUAUAGUUUUCAAAGGUGAAGAUUUACAUUAGAAUGAAAAUCUUAUCUUCUGACUUCUAUCUUCAUAUCUCCUAUUGUCACUUCCCUGUUAGGUAUGGCCAUGUAAAUUAUUUGGAUACAAAAAAGCAAUUGGGUAAACUUCUCUUGACAUACAUAACAUGCCAACUAAAAAGAAAAUCUUCAUCUAUGGUAACGUACUCUUUCCACCUCCCUUUAUUAUGUAUUUUUUGCUCAGCUCAUGGAUAAGUCCAUGUCAGAGCACAGUAAAGACUGGUAAGAUGCUCCAAACCUGUUCUAUUGUCCCUUCUCCCUCCUCUUUCAUAACAGGUAGGAGUUUCAUUCCAAUUUUCUACAGUUUUUGAGUCAUUUUCUUAAUCUCUUGCAAAUGUAUGACAUCUUACUCUAAUAUAUACUUCAUCUCUUUUCUGUGCUGUCAAACUUCUAUCGUCCCUUUCCAAUUCAUUCAUUAAUUUAUCUACCUGUUCAGCUAAUACUUAUUGAUCAUCUUAAGUGCUGGGGCUUGUUUUUUAUGCCAAGAACCCAGCAAUAAAAGAAACAGAGAACACUGCCUGCCGUUCUGGAGUUUACAUCGCUUCUAAUAGAUCAAUCAUCAGGGCUGCUCAUUGCAUUACCCACCGGACACUACUCACAUGCUGGUCUGUGUGAAUAUUGCCCCUGGAGUUGUGCUGUACACAGCUGGCUCAGCUUUACACAAUGGUCCUGAUUUCUGUGCUUAGUAUUUUCAAAACUACUUUUCUAUGCUAAGAUAAGUUUCCAUGUUCCAACAUUUUCCAACGUUUGCCAGAGGAUGACCCUGCGCUUUGGGAAAGCAUGCAGUCCUCUCCUGCCGAGUGGAGGAGAGUUUUAUGGAGAAACCAUCUUUCCUCAGAUGAUCUACAUUAAGCCACUCUAAGAUUUACUUGCUGCUUCUUCCUGUAUUUUCAACAUUAUCAAACCCGUUUUUUUCCUGUGUCUUUGAUUACUUCUCUUUUUUCUUUUUUAAGAAAAUUUUUUACUUGUUUUCAUUUUAUUGAAAGAGAGAGAUCGUCUAUCCACUGGUUUAUUCCCCAAAAGCCCACAACAGCAGGGACUUGGCUAAGCCAAAACCAGAAGCUAGGAAAUCCAUCCAAGUCUCCCACAUGGGUACCAGGUACCCAUGUACUUGGGCCAUCACUUGCUGUCUCCCGGAGUGUACAUUCGCAGGAAGCUGGAUCAGAAGCAGAGUAGCAGGGACUCAAACACUCCAAUAUGGGAUCCCUGUGGGAACUUAACGGCCAUAGCAAACAACUGCCCCUCUUCUUUCCUUGCAUAGUAAGCCAUGGAUGUUUUCUUUUUUAAAAUGUUCUCAUUUAUUUGAAAGACAGUGUGACAGAGAGAGAUGUCUUCCAUCUGCUGGUUCACUUCCCAGAUGCCAGCAACAACUGGGGUUGGGCCAGGCUAAGCCAGGAGCCAGGAAUUCCAUACUUGUCUCCCACAUAGAUGACAGGGACCCACCCAACUACUUGGGCUCCUCUCAGAUGCAUUAUCAGGAAAGUAGAUUGGAAGUGCAGGGUAGCUGGGAUUCAGACUGUGCAUUCCCAAUAUGGGAUGUGGUCAUCCCAAGUAGCAGCUCAGCCCACUGCAUCUCAAUCCUGCCCUUGGAUGUUUUUUCAUGUUUCUUCCCCCUGACAGUGAUCAUAACAUAUAUUUUUUUAGCUGUGCAGUGUUUCUUCUACCUUAAUUUGUAGUCAGAAAAUACAGUAAGAAGUCUGUGCCCUGCAUUUUAAAAAGAAUUAUUUUAUUUUAUUUUAUUUUGAAAGUAGAGAGACCACCCUCUUAUCCUCUGAUUUAUUUCCCCAAAAUGCCUGCAACAGUCAGCUUGGGCCAGGAUGAAGUCAGGAGCCAGAAAUUCAAUCUGGAUCUUCCCUUGUGAAUAGCAGGGACCCAGCUACUUGCGCCAUCACCUGCUGCCACCCAGAGUGCACAUUAAUGAGAAACUGGAGUGGAGGUCAAAGCUGGAACUCAAACCUAGGCACGCCCAGUAUGGGAUGUGAGCAUCACAAGCAGUAGCUUCACCACUGUAUCAAAUGCCUACUCCUGUGUCCUGCAUGUUGAAGACAAAGUUGCAUUUCAAGUAUUUAUUAGCAAGAUAAAGGAGGAAAAAACUCCUGUUUUCCUUAUGAUCAAAAUAUGAACUGAGGUGCUGGUGCUGUGGCAUAGUGGGCUUGGUCUCUGCCUGCAGUGCCAGCACCCCAUAUGAGUGCUGGUUCGAGUUAUCGGCUGCUCCACUUCUGAUCCAGCUCUCUGCUAUGGCCUAGGAAGGCAGUAGAGGCUGGCCCAAGUGCUUGGGCCCCUUCACCUACAUGGGAGACCUAGAAGAAGCUCCUGGUUCCUGGCUUCAGAUAGGCCUAGCUCCAGCUGUGUGGCCAUUUGGGAAGUGGAUGGAAGACCUCUCUGUGUCUGUAACACUACCCCUCAAAUAAAUAAAUCUUUAAAAAAGAAAUGAACUGAAAAUACUUGUUAGUAAUAUUCCAUCUCUAACUUAGAAAAUAACUGAAUUUGACUAAGAAAGCAAUAAUGUCAAGACUCACUAUUAAAGUGAAAUGCGUGUUUAAAAAGAGUAAUUCUUUGUGCAUAUAGAGUAGAAAAACUUGAGAAGUAUGUUUACUUGCACAUUGUUGUCAUUAAAAUCAGAUGGAAAGGUUUAGAGAUUGUGCAAUUAAGGAAUGUUUUCUACCCACAAAUUCCCUAGCUAUGUGUUUCACAUUCAUAAACAAUUAGGCCUAAGGAUACUUGGAUUCAAAUCUGCUUUGGAAACUCAUUUUUGCAAAUAUUUAGUUUCCUAGAUCUUUACUGAAAUGAUCGACAACAUCAGGUAUCAACUGCACCAACAACUUUUCUCCAUGGGGUGAUCUGGUUUGUCUUUUGAUCUUUUCCAUAUCCAGCCUCUUAAAACUUCAUCUGUUACACAUCUCAUCUUUUGUAAUCCAGUGUGGGACCUCUAUUUGAAAUAGUUUUGGGAUAUAUGUUAAUUAUGUGUAAGACACAAAGGCUCCUGCUUUUCUAGCUAGCCUUACUUCCCUCUCAGCAUUUUUACUUGUUUCAUCAUUUUUAGACUUCAGACAUGAUUAACUCUCUCAACUCCUUUGUUUUUUUCAAUUGCCAUUCCCUAUUUUUAUUAUUAAACAACUGAAUGCCUUAACUCUAGGUAAUUUAACAUACAUCUUCACUGUUGAAGUGAAAUGGCACUUGUUGUUACCAGUGGCUUUUGAUGAAAAUGGAAACUAAUGUUUGUUGAGUACAACAAAUAUUACUUCUGUGGACCAUGCAGAAGACGCCUAUGCUAGACACUUGUAUAUGAAGUGUCUCAUGUAAUUUUCACAUCAGUUACAUAGAUAGCAGUAUUCCUUUCUUAAGAAAGAGAGAAGUGGGGCUGGCGCUGUGGCAUAGCGUGUAAAGCUGCUGCCUGCUGGCAUCCCAUAUGGGUGCCGGUUUGAGACCUGUCUGCUCCACUUCUGAUCCAGCUCUCUGCUAUGGCCUGGGAAGGCAAUGAAGGUGGCCCAAGUCCUUGGGCCCCUGCACCCAUAUGGGAGACUGGGAAGAAGCUUCUGGCUCCUGGCUCAUAUCUGCUCAGCUCUGCCGUUACAACCAUUUGGGGAGUGAACCAGCAGAUGGAAGGCCUCUCUCUCUGUCUCUGUCUCUGUCUCUCUCUCUCUUUCUCUCUCUGCCUCUGUAACUCUGCUUUUCAAAUAAAUAAAUAAAUCUUAAAAAAAAAAUAAGAGUAUGGGGCCAGUGCUGUGGUAUAAUGGGUUAAGACAGUCUGCAGCACCUUCAUCCCGUAUGGGAUCCAGUUCAAGUCCCAGCUGCUCCACUUCUGAUACAGCACUCUGCUAAUGUGCCUGGGAAAUCAAUGAAGGAUGGCCCAAGUGCUUGGGCCCUGCACCCAUGUGGGAGAUCUGGAAGAAACUCCUGACUCCUGGCUUCUGUCUUGCCCAGCUCUGGCCAUUGUGGCCAUUUGGGUAGUGAACCAGUAGAUGGAAGAUCUCUCUGUCUCUCUGUCUUUCCUUCUCUCUCUUUGUAACUCUGCUUUUCAAAUUCAAAAAAAAAAACACACACACACACACACAAGAGAGAAAGAGAAAAGUAGGGGUUAAAUAACUUGUCUUAGCUUCUAAGUAGCAUAUUCAUCCCCAAGUCCUUGCUCUUUCCCCUUUAACACACUUUUUGUAUUUCAACUUAUCUUUUUAUCUCUUCUUGAUUAAAAGGCCUCUCUGGGCUCUUUGUGACAUUAUUUUCUGCUCUCUGGUUCAGUUGGGUCCCCAUUGCUUUAAUUCCAGAUGGACAGGGUGGGGCAAUUCAUGUGAGUGGGGAUCUUUCAGUGUUACAUGCCACUGAGUUCUCAGGGUACAGGUGUGGCUUCACUUACAUAAUGCUCAUGGACAAUCUAUGAAAUGCCAAAGAAAUCGUACAUCAUGUACCUGUAACCCAUCUAUCGGCACAAGAAGCAUGUUUGCAAAAUGUAGACCAGCCUUCUAAUUUUAUGAAUCAUAGAGUCUGUUCAUAUUUUCUACCCACUCACCACCAGGUCUAAUCAGCUCUUAUUUUCUAAUAUGCUGCCAGAGUGGUUUUCAAAUGUUGCAGAAAAAAGAGGCUCCAACUUGAUUAUUUGCUUUGAAAAAAUACCAUUUGUUUCUAGGGGUGCAAAACUUCUCAAAAAGUAUACAAUGUAAAUUCAGUGCAGUGUUUAGAAAGCCAGUACCUCAGAGCAAGUUAGCUUCUAAGCUAUUUCCUUAUGUGUAAGAUCAGAAAAAUACAACUACUUAGUCCAUAGGGAUGUGUGAGGAUAAAUGAGGUAAUAUUUAUGAAAGAGCUAUGUAAGCUGUAAAAGAAUCCCCACUGUAACUGGUAGGCAAUGAAAGCACAGACAGUGUGAUACUUUUACUUAUAGCUCUGAUAUACCUAAAAGGGUUAAGAUUAUAAGGGAAGAAAUUUUCUUGAAAAUAGAGGUGACUUAUUUCUUCAAAAAAACUGUACUUUAGUCCCUUGACUUUAUUUAUUUAUUUAUUUAAAAGGCAGAAUUACUGAGAGAAAGAGAAAGACAGAGAGAAUCUUCUAUCCACUGGCUUAUUCACCAAAUGGCUACAAUACUGGGGCUGGGCCAUGCCAAAACCAGAAUCCUACAACUGCAUCCCUGUCUCCCACAUGAGUGGCAGGAGCCCAAGCACUUGGGCCAUCUUGUGCUGCUUUUCCUGGUGCGUUUCCUAGGGAACUGGAUCAGAAGUGGAGCAGCCAGGACUCGAACUGGAGUUCUAUGAGAUCCUGGUAUCAUAGGCAGUGACUUAACCCACUGCACUACAAUGCUGGCCCCUUAAUUUUGUUUUUUUUUAACACAUGUCCAUGCGAAGGUAUUUAUACUGAAUGGGGGAAAAAAAAAAACCUUUGGCCAUCUAUGCCUCAUCCUUUCUUGUUAAAUGCCCACUCAGAGGACUCUUUAGGAAAGUGUUGACGUCAAAGAGAUCUAGAUCAAAAUUCUGGCUCUGUCACUUGUUAGAUCACUCUGGACAAAUAAUUUCCAUAAUCAAACAUUUCAGAGUUAAUGAGCUAAAAUUUUUCAUCCUUCCUUCUCCCUUAGAUCUUUGUUCUUUGCUUGACCUUUAAUUGGUUUGCUGGUGUCACCCUCUGUUCAGUUGCUUGAGAUUAAUCACAGUGAUUUCUACUUUCUCAUUCACCACACUGACUAAUUAAUUGAACAAGUUCUGCUGAUACUACCUCCUACAUUAAUACUUCUGGUCUUGCACUAGCCCAUAUGGUAGCUACUAGUUAGUGUGGUAUUGUGCACUUAAAACAUGGCUAACCGAAUUGAGAUGUGCUCUAAGUGGGAAGUACAAACUGGAGUUCAAAACAGUAUAAAAAUGAUUUUUAAGUUUCAGUAAAUUUAUAAUAAUUUCAUAUUGAAACAAUAUUUUGAUACAGUGAGUUCAACAAAAUAUACUAAUACUUAAGUCACAUGUUCCUUUUCUUAGUGUAGCCACUAAAUUUAGUUACAUUUGUAGCUCAUAUGAUAUUUCUUUUUUUUUAGAUUGAUUUAUUUAUUUGAAAGGCACAGUUACAGAGAGAGAGAAAGAGAGAGAGAGAGAGAUUUUCCUUCUACUAUUCACACUCCAGAUAGCUGCAAUGGCCAAGGCUGGGCCAGGCUGAAGACAGGAACCAGGAGCUUUAUCCGAGUCUCCCUCAUGGGUAGCAGGGGCCCAAAUACUUAAGCUACCCUCUGCCCUAUGCUGCUCUCCCAGGCCAUUAACAAGAAGCUGAAUUGGAAGUGGAGCAACCUAGACGUGAACCAGCACCCAUACGGGAUACUGGUGUUGCAGGCAGCGACUUUACCCACCACACCACAGCACCAACCCCUCAUAUGAGAUUUCUCAUGGACAAUGUUGCUCUAUUAUGUUCUGUUCUAUCUUAGCAUCUUUUAUCUCUUGCUGUUGUGAAUGUCUAAUAAUUGACCUCCCUAUAUUCUGAAUCUCAAAGAGAAUGUUCUUUCUGAAAUCUGAAAGUGUCACUUGUCUGCUACUGCUGCCCUUCAGAGGCAUCUCGUCACAAAACCCAAGGUACUAUGUGCCCUAUGAAAGAAUAUCAUGAUUAUUUGACUCUUGUCUACCUCUCAGCCUCAUCUCUCACCUCUCCUCAGCUCCUUCUUCCAUCUUGGACUGUAUACUCUGCUGAUCCUAAAAUGCCUGUUUUCCCCUCAGCAUAUCGUUCUGUUUCACUGAUCUCUUUCUUUGCAUUGCUGAUUCUUUAAUCUAGCAUACUCUUGCCACCCCUCCUCCAUGUGACUAGGGAGUUCCAUUUUAGCUUUCAAAGCUUCUUGUAGGUAACCAGAUUCAAUGGUUCUGUUUCCUGAUGCCAGCUUCCAGCGUAUUGUAGGAGGCCGCAGAUGAUAGCUCAAGUAAUUAAGUCCCUGACAACCAUAUGGGAGACCUGGAUUGGGUUCCCCAGAACUGACCAUUGCAGGCAUUUAGGGGAAGGAACCAGCAGGUGGGUGUACACUCGCUCUCGGAAUUCUCCCAAAUAAUAACAACUUUCCAUAGGUUCCUCUUUUCUCCCACCCUUAUGGUGGGUCCACCACUACUUUUUGUUUGCUCUCACUGAGCCCUAAGCUCUGUGAAGGGAGGGACCAUGGCUUGUUCACAUUGUAUCCACUUAUGCUUUGGAUAACACCUGGAGCUCAGCAGGUACAUUCAUUUGAUAAAUGUUUGUGUCAUUUGAAUUGCAUUGCAUUAGAAUCAUUUUUAUUACAGUAAUUUAUUUAUAUGUCUCCCUACUGUGGAAUGAGUGGGGGUAGGAGGGCAAGUAUGGUAGGAAGAAUCAACUAUAUUCCUAAAGUUGUUCUUAUGAAAUUUGUACUCAUUGAAUAAAAGGUUUCUUGGGGUUGGGGGGGGGGGAUUUCUCCCUGUCUGCCUCCUCUCUCUCUCCGCCUCACACACUAUCAUUCUGCUUUUCAAAUACAUCUUAAAAGUGGGGAGUUCUCCCCAAAAUACAACCUGAAGUAAAAUUGGUACCCCAGGAAGAUAUGCCAUGUUUAUUCUGUGGCUUCAAUCAUCUCCAACAUAUUGCCAAUUACUGGUUUGUAUACUCGAGUUGAGAACUAUAAUGUUAGACUUUCCAACAAAAUACUUAGGGGUAUCCUGCAAUUUACUUAAGAAGAAUGGAUCAGAGCUACUAAUGGGGCCAGCAUUGUGGUAUAGUAGGUUAAGCCGCCAUCUGCAAUGCCAGCAUCCCAUACUAGUGCCGCUGGUUUGAGUCCCAGCUCCUCCACUUCCUAUUC
Molecule: non-coding RNA, 50851 nt
Organism: Oryctolagus cuniculus (rabbit)
Lineage: Eukaryota; Metazoa; Chordata; Mammalia; Lagomorpha; Leporidae
Source: RefSeq, a predicted model, not a curated record